UUUUUUUUUUUUUUUACUUUCCAAACAAAUCUCUUAAUUUUUCAAUUGUUGAAUUAAAUGAUGUAAAUCCAAUAUAGAGUGUGUGAAAGACAAAAUAAAUGUAUGAAUAGCACCACAUUCAACAAUUAACAAUUAGACAUCAAACCUCACUAUAAAUAUUUAUCGUUCGAGUCAAACUUAAUACUUUAUUCAAUUAAGUAAAUUCAAAUAUCGCUAUACGCAUGAUUAUGUUUUGCAACUGCAAUAAAAGCGUCAUUUGUAUUAAAUUCUGUGCUUGAUGCUAAUGAAAUUGCAUAAAUGAGAUUAUGAAACAUUAAUUUACUUUCAAUUGAUAAUGGUGGGGAAAUAUUUGGUUAUUAGCUCAUGUGAAUAUAACACGUCGUCACUGAUAUGCAAGAAUGUUUCGAUUAAGGUAUUAUUUAUUUAUUUUUAAUUUUUUAGCAAAUGUUACAGUACUAUUUAUUGAACAAGGAUAGAGUAACGAUUCGAUUGUCAACCAUAUGAACAUAACGUUCAUUACGUGAUUCGGUCAUAUAAAGAUACGUUCCUGACGAUAUACAAAUUUUUUUAUUAUAUAUUCUGCCUUCUAUUCACGCAAAACAAAUUACAAUUUAAUAUCAAACUUACUACGAAGAUAUGCAUAUUGUUAUUGAUGAAAAUGAUCAUGUGCGCCAUGUCAUAAUUGUUAAAUCAGAAUGGAUCAAGAAUCUACCCAACCACAUUGUUUGACAUUCGGAUAACUUAAUCAGGCUAAUCAAGCUAAUGUUGCUGACAUAUGCGCUUCCGUCAUCAACUGCUUCAAUUACAUACACACUCAGUCAGCGGAAAAAAAUCAACUUCAAAUUGUUGAAACGCCCCUUUUGAUUUUCGCAAUUUCCCACUUUAUCACCAUUUUUCGUUUUGUUUAUGCAUUAUAUUUUGAAAUAUAUUAAUCCAACUUAAACUAUAGGACUAACUGCAAGUGACUUUUACUACAAUGGUGGAAAUGAUAUGAGUUUCAUGACGACGUGGGUUCGAACUCCGUUAAUGGUUAAUAUACAUUUAAUCUAACAAAAUUUAUCGUUUGAUAAAAAAAAAAAAACACAAGGACUAAUUGCAUUUCACAACUUUCAUGUCGGUGAGUAUAAAAUCCAUAACUCUGACAUAUAAGUCACAUUUAUAGCAUAUUAACUACAAAACUAAUCAACUUAAGAGAUAUUUAGACAUUCUAAUAUCUUAAGUGAUAACGUGAUAAAAUUAAAACCUCACUACCCAUUUUAAAAAUCAUCUCAAAUUUUGAGGUGUAAUAUGCAGUCCUAAAUUAUAUAGUUUUAAAUUCCCAGAACAUCCUAGACGGUUUGCUUUACAACAGAAAAUUGUAAGGUUAUUAUCGUCUUUUCGGUAUUUAUUUUUGAGGUAAGUAGGUGGAAGGUAAGACUAUUCUCAGUCAAAGUCAACGAAAUAACGGAAAGCGACUUUGGAAGUCACGGUUGCCCUCCACCACAAUUGUCGAAAGACCAAAUUAUCCUGGGAGUUAUGUGGAUUUUAAUUUCAGUUACAGAUAUAUACUUUGUGACUGUUUUAUUUUUUGGUGAAAAGACUGAAUGUUUACAUUAAACUAUAUUUUAUCUAUUUUUAACAUAUUUACAUGGUUAAUGAAUUUAAUGUUUACGGUAUAAAUUCGAUAAAAAAAAUACAAGAAGUUUGUAAUUCAAGUUGUCCAAUAUUUAUUUAUGUAUUCGAGGUUAUAAAUUUGAUUUUUCUUUCAUUUAGAAUUGCUUGUAUAAAAACACAUAAUAGUAACAUAUAAAACUAAUGCACAUGGUGAAGGUAAUAGUUGUUAGGGUCUUCCUCUUUGACCCGUUGCGUUCUAAUUCAAAUUCCCCUUCUAUCUCAAUUAUUGUAAAAAAAAAAAAAACUAAUUCAAAGAUAACAGUAACAAUUAUCCUUUCAAUUCAUGUCUCGAGUUUAGUUUUUCUCAACCACUACCACUUGAAUAAAAACAACCUACUGACAUAUAAAGGAAAUAUUAAGAGUUAGUAUUACGGUGUAUGAUUUAAUCUCUUGAGGAAAAUAAAAGUGAACAUGCAAUGUAAUACUAACUCUUAAUAUUUUUAUUUUUCAAGUCAUUAAAUCCAAAAACUAAAAGACAUGAAAUAUAAAAAUAGGUGCUAUGGAGGGCAUCACCUCGUAUAAAAAUGAUAUAUGACAAAAAGGAGACAACAAAGGCACAAUCGUAAAUAAGGAAAGAAGCAAAGGCCAUUUUCGUCUACAAAAUCAGCCGCCUUUCUAAUAAAACCUAUCGUUCCCAAUAGCAGCCCCAACUUUGCGAUUUCUGUCGAUUCCGAAUCCGCUUGCUCGUGACUCGUGAGUCGUGACUCGCGAGCUUCACUCCCUCUCUCUCUCUCUCCGGCAAACCACCUCCGAGCUUUUUUCUUCACAAACCCUAAUUUUCCCAAUCCCCAAUUGUUUCCCCCAAAUCACCUCCAGUUCUGUAACCCCACCUUUCAAUUCAACCUUCCCGCUGCCGAUUCACCGUCGUCAACCUCCGCAAUGGCAUCCAUCGCUUGCUAGGGUUUCCUAGAUCCAUCCCGUCACUCUUCGACAGCACACUGCACCACUACCUCACCAACCUAAUCAAAUUCAUAGUUAUGGCUAUUCGUGUCACCCUGAGCUUCUCCGGCUAUGUGGCCCAAAACCUUGCAUCCUCGGCAAACCUCCGCGCGGGGAACUGCCGAGGAUUUCACGAAUGCUGGGUCAGGUCUCGGGUAUUAGGAUCCAGCCAGAAGCCCGAUAUCAACCCCUCUGUCCCCGUCCACAAUUACCAGACCCAAUUCUCCCGCUCGAAGCAUUCGUCGGCCGCCGUUAGGCCCUUGCCGUCGCUGUACACCGCCCUCGCCGAGGAGAUUCUAGGCGAGAGCAGCAAGAGCCCGAUCUUUCUGGGGUUGAUCUCGCUUCUGAAGUCAACGGCUAUCGCCACCGGCGUCUCUUCGGCUCCGGCCGCCAUGGGGAUUUCGCCGUUUAAUGUCAGUUCGAUCAUGCCCUCUUUACAGGCAUCGAAGUGGCUGCCCAGCAACGACACCGUCCCGGAAUCGAUAAUGAAGGAAGUGGAUAAAGGUGGAACCUUGUGCGUGGACGAGGUUGCUCAGGCCUCGCAGCUGGCUAAGAAAGACUUGGGCAGGACCGGGUUUUUGUCACGAUUGUUGAAUUCUUGCUCGGAGGACGCUAAGGCUGUGUUCACUGCUGUUACAGUAAGUGUAUUGUUUAAGUCCUUCCUGGCUGAGCCCCGAUCGAUUCCCUCCACUUCAAUGUAUCCCACUCUCGAUGUGGGUGACCGAGUUUUGGCGGAGAAGGUUAGUUCACGUUCGAAUUUUCGCCAUCUUUUAAUUUGUUCAAUGUUGGUUUUCCUGAUUGAUUGAUAGUUUAUAUAGUCUUGGUUAGUACAAUGUGAAUUUGAAUUGGGAUAUGGAAAUUUAUGCUUGCAAGCUCUACUUGGUGAAUUAAUAAAUGUGGAAAAUUUUCUUCUGUUGGUGUGUGAAAUCGAUUACGUGUAGGACAUUAUAUUCUCAACCAGAUUCUCAGUUCAGCUGAUAUAUUUUCUUCCUUUGAUGAAUCAGGUUUCAUAUUUCUUUAAAAAUCCUGAGGUCUCAGAUAUAGUAAUUUUCAAGGCACCUCCAAUCUUACAGGUAAAGUAUAUAACUACAUUUUGUAAGAGUCUUUCAAUUGCACCCUUAGUUACAUUUGGUAAUAAAUUUUAGCAUGGGUGCUGACAUUUUUUCUUCUUCUGUUUUGUUGUGUACUGUGUAGGAAAUUGGUUACAACUCAACCGAUGUAUUCAUCAAAAGGAUUGUAGCUAAGGCUGGAGAUUGGGUCGAGGUAAUAAUCUUGAUAGUCUUCGUAGUUCAUGGUUAUAACUUAUAAGUUUAUAGCUCAGGCAAUCUAUUCAUAAAAUUGAAAAAUUAUAUGCCUUGGUUUUUGACGUGUGGAUUUCUAUUGAUCAGGUUCGCAAUGGGAAAUUGCUUGUCAAUGAUCUUGUUCAGAAUGAAAAUUACAUAUUGGAGCCGCUCAAUUAUGAAAUGGAUCCAGUGGUAGGCAUCCUCUUCUGGCUUCUCAUUGAUUUCUUUUCCUUCAGUUGAUUUGGAUACGGAGGGACGUGGACAAUUGCUUACAAAAUUGUGACCUGCUUGUCUGAUUAUGCAGCUUGUUCCAGAAGGCUAUGUCUUCGUAUUGGGAGAUAAUCGCAACAAUAGUUUUGACUCUCAUAACUGGUACGUCUAAGCUCUUAGUUUAGCACAUUAAGAUCGUUAUCCUUCCAACUGAAUUGUUAUUUCUUCGUAACCAAAAAAAGAAUUAUUGCAUCGCUGACAUGUUGAUGUUGUUUACUUGUUUUCAGGGGUCCACUUCCUGUGAAAAACAUUCUUGGCAGAUCGGUAUUUCGCUACUGGCCUCCUUCCAAGGUGUCUGACACCACUUUUGAACCACAAGGACCAAAUAACGACGUUGCAGUUUCUUGACCGGUUGCCCUCUGUUUGCAGGGGGAUGACCUCAGAAUACAUUCUUGUUCUCUUAUCAAGAUAGUGAAUUGACUUACACCACUCUUUUGGCUCGUUUUCGAGCACUUUGAAGAUGAUUUGGAUGGAUAAACUUAUCCAUCAGUCUGUGAAUCUGUAUGAAAUUUAAACUUACUCUGAACGAACAAAAGAAAGAUGAAGCUGAAGUGUUCAACUUAUAUGAUUCAUCAAAUUAUUUUGUUCUUAUAUGUUGUUGGGAGGUUCAGCUGCCAUACAUGAGGUUUCCGCACCUGUGAGGAACCAAACGUCCGAAGGAAGGGGAAGAUUCAUCUGGAAAUGCAGCACCUCUCGUGCCGGGUGAAGGUCUGAUCGCCUUAGAUGCUGUGGGGAUGAUUCUUGUCAAACGAAGAGACGGAGAUGGUUCGCGGAUGGUAGCCGCAGAUGGUUCUUUGCAGUAAUGUUGAAAGCUUGCCCAUGAAUUGAACCUGGCCUCCCUUUUUUCCUGUUGCCUGUAGGCUUUGCUUGCUUCCUUCGAAGCAUCCGUGUAAAAUGACGUCUUUGGAGUUCUGCUGUUCCAUUUUAUAAGACGCAUUGUUCAUCUGUGUAAAUCGUUGUUCGUUAAUAAUCCGAUCAAACUGCUCCCUUGAUUGAGUAGUUGGUAUUUAGGGCCUAUUUGAUACUCUAUUUGAAUUUAAUUUUUUAAAUUCAAGAACAAUUUUUAAGUUUUAGACCUUAAAUACUUGUUUGCUAGAAUUAUUUUCAAAAACUGAACUCAAGAUUAAUUAAAAAUUAUAGUUUAUUUUUUAAAAACAUAAAAAAUGAGUUUUUAGAAACACCAAUCAAGUUUUUGAAUCUUAAAGAAAAUUGUUUUCAAGAAAUGUUCUUAACAAAUGUUUUGAGAAAUGAUAAAAAUUUUCAAAUGAAAUACCAAACAGGCCCUUAGCUUUUCUUCUUGUGCUAAUGCAUCAAGGGAACGAUUUCAAUUCUAUUUUUGUUCAACUACAUGAAAUGUUUUGUUUUGAUAUAUGAAUCCGAAUUGAACCAAAAAGAUCAAACUGCCCUCUGUUCAAUUUAGUCAUUCCAUAUUCAAUUUCACCACACCAAAUUUUUUUUUAAGAACCAGAAAUACUAACAGAUGCAUUUCUGUUCCGCCUGGCCACUAACAUUAAAAAUCGAACUCAAGACGUUCCGUAUAAAAUACGGACUAAAAGUACAAAUCCUCAUCCCUACUCAAUGAAAAAUGAAACUAAUUAUAGCAACCAAAUGAAAAAAAAUUUAAAAUAAGAUAACUGGCAGGUAAAAAAAAUAACGGUCUGAUGAGGAAGGUUAUCCCAUCAUCAUUGGAACCCAAAACGCAAACACGGCGGUGAGAGAGUGGGACGCGAUCCCUUCCGCUUAAGUCAGUCGUUGACGAAUCAAAACAUACACAAAAAACGAUGAGGACCGGCGGCGCCACCGUCUCCCUCCUCCUCUUCCUCUGCCUCCAGUUCCCACUUCAAUUAAUUCUCGCUUUCAAUUCUUCCUCUCUAAACAACGACACGCGAAUCUUGCAGGUACUCUCUCUUGUCGACCUCAUCUCUCUCUCUCCUUUUUUCUACAGCGCUGUGAUUUUUAAUUUCUACUUUUCUUUCCAUUUUUUGGUGAAUUUUGAAGGAAGUUCUGAAGCAAAUCUCGGCCAAGCACAAGUGGGAUUUGCAGGACGUGAGGGUCUCCAGGCUGGAUGUGGGCAGGGUCCGAUUCGGGAGCGCCCAGCGGUACGAGUUCCGGGUCGGAUUCGGGAAGAUCCACGUCGGCGUCUUGUUCUCUGACGACGUCGCUUCCUGGAAGAAGUUCAGGAAACCCAGGACCCAUUUGGGCUCUCUCGUUCAGGAGCUCAGCUCCAUGGCCGUUGUCGACACCUUCGAAGUGGAGGGUCCGUUUGAGUUGCGGGUCGCCGGCGCUCACGAGCUCUCGCUUUCAUUGCCGGUAAGCUCAAUGCUUAAUCGAUGCUUCAUUCAAUGCUUAAUCGAACUUGAAUUUCAUAAUUAUGUUAGUUGUCUUGAUUGGUUCUCAUCAGUUUACAAAUGAUUCGAUCAAAAAGAGAACUUCUUCACUAAAUUGUCACUAAACCGGCACUUAACGAACACGAAAAAUCUGUUUUAUUGUGCUGUUUACUGCCCCAUGUAUUGAAAAUUUGUAGAAUUCUAUUUCUGCAUACUUUGAAAGUGUUUCCGAACUGGUUUUGAUUGACACUAUAGCUCACUUGUUGCUCGUUUGGAGUUUUCGGACAAUUUCAUGUACGAAUAGCUUGAGCAAUUGCGUUUAUAUAUUGUAGAUGAACACUACAUAUAAUGGGUUGAAAAGGAUUCUUGUUGGUGAAGGCAUAACCGUGGAGGUAAGCAGAGCGAUCGAAGUCUCUGUGUUUCAUGCGUCUGAUCUUGGUUUAUCAUCAAAUGGCAGUGGUGCUACUAAGGAGAGGAGUGAGUUUUGGUCCAUUGGGCAUUCAUACUGUGCCCCAUUAGUUCCGAUUCGUGUUUUUGGGCCGGCAACAUUGGUUGCAUACAAGACUCGAAAUCAUGAUGCCCACAUUGAAACUAAUUUUAUUUCCAAGGAGAUAGUUGAAUUGUUGCCAGAGAAGUGCUACAGAAGUCAUGCAUACAAGAAGCGGCCUUGCCCUGUUGAUUCUUUAAGUUUGAGGAUAUCUAUGCUGGAAAGAAUUUGGAAAGGCUUUCUUGGUGAUAGAAUUCGCCAGAACAAAUUGUCGGGAUUUGUUGAAGGAAAAAUCAAAGCUUCAACUAUUGUUCGCUUCAAGGUUGAGCUCAAAUUGGAUUUUCGGAGGGUUGGUGCACUCCAUGACAAAGAUGGGUGGAGAACUAGGCCAGCUGUUCAACGGGUUUGGUUUGAAGUUUUGGCGAGAGUUGAAUUAAAGAGGGUUAAGCCUCUCUUUGUUAGAAAGAUUAGGCCCUUCAUUGUAGCUGAUUCAGUUGCAUGGAGUAGUUUGACGUCAAAUAUUUCCUUUACCAAGUCCGGAUCUGUCCUUGGCCCUCCUGAGGCGUUAACACUGGAUGUGAAGUGGUAGAGUAAACCUGUUGUAAAGUAUUUUUUUUUGAGAAUGUUUUGCAGAUUAAGGCGACAAGGCGUUGUUUGUGCCCAUGCCCUUUUGUUAUAUGAUGGAUGAAACAGUAUCUGCCAAUUGUUCGAUAGCACUCUCGAUUGCUCCUGUAAGUAAAUUGUUAAUUAAGAAAACAAACGUUAUACAGAUUGAUGACUUGAUAUUAGUUUGAUCUUUUUUCGCUUUCGACUUUAUAAUCUGAUAUAGUCAGGAUCGUUUUUGUUGGAUCGUUGCCUCUGCGAUCGCGUGAGUCUCAUUUUCAUUGCAUAAUCUUUUUCCCUCAUGAAUUUUUGGUUUCGGUUUUGGUGGAUACUCACUGUAUAUAUGUUGGAUGAAAAUGGUUAGUCUAGAAUAAUAUGUAAUCAUCAUAGGGAAACGAUUCCCGCACUCUGAUUUUCUCCAGAGUGCGGAAAUCAUUUCCCCUUAUCAUAUUGCCCUUCAUUUUGAAGUUUAAUAUCAUGUGUUAUGAAAUGCAUUUCAUAAUAUGGGUUCUCUUAAUAAUGUUGAUAAUCAUUACAAUAUAUACUAUUCAUUCAUAUACCGACAAGUGCCGUCCACACUCAUUUUUGUCUCUGACACACCUCUUGUUAAUUUAUAUCCUUUGAUCUUCUGCAAUUUAUUCGAUCCGAUGACCGAAAAUUGAGAGAGGUCUGUGAGAGGUAAAAAAUGGUGUGUAGAUAGCACCACCCUAAAACAAACCCUAACUAGGCUUUAACCAUUUCAACCUUCCCACUGUAAUCACCUUCCUUAAUCACUUCUACCUUUUUGUACUUAUACCAAGAUGCACAAACCACAUAACCUCCAAAAUUAAGCACACUGAGCCCUGCCAACAACCAAUAGAAAUAGUUCAGCUUAUCUCUGUUCAAAUUAUUGCUAGCCAGCCACCCGCCGCUGACUUUAUUCACCACCUCCACCACCACCGUGCUCAAGAAAUACCCAAACGCAAUCGAACACCACGAUAUGGCGGUGCUGAGAGACUUCAUUCCGACCGCACUCUCAGCAUAGAAGAACUCCAGAAGCCCUACCAAUGUAAACAUAUCUGCAGCUCCGAAAAUUGCAUACUGCAGCCCCAGCCAAAAAACACUCAUCGGCAGUGGCUCUGCGCUGUCGACCAUGUUGUGUUGAACCGCUACGUGUUUGCGGCGAGUUUCUACGAGUCCGGCCACCGCCAUGGAGAUAGCAGAGAGCACUAGCCCAACUGCGAUGCGCUGGAGGUGGCGUAUCCCGGUUGGGAUCCCGGUGAUUUUUCGAGCGAUUGGCACGAAAAUUCUUUCGUAAAUCGGGAUAAGAAAGAACAUGAAGGUUAAAGGGAUUGCUGGGAUUGAAGGGCCGGGAACUUUGAAUCCGAGCAGAUUACGGUUCAUGGUUGUGCUCUGUUGGAUUGAGAAGGUCUGGAGUUGCGCCAUGCAUGUGUUCAUGAAGACAGUGCUUAAUAUGAUUGGGAGCAUGCGGAUUAGGAGCUUUGUUUCUUCAACUUGUGUAACAGUGCAUAGGCUCCAUGAUCCAUGUACUGUAGGUGUUGAUGCACCGUCAGCCGUAGUGCCACUGGAGAUCGCUGCGCGGUCCAACCAUCUGAUAUGUAUUUCAUAAGCACUUUUAACUUUUUCAAUCAAACAUUAUAAGAAGCGCUUUUAGUUAUAUACAAGUGCUUCCAUUCUAAAAACACCGUCAAAACAAGACUUUUAGUAGUUUUGUCUUACAGUUCGAAUAGAGGAAAUUUGUAAGUGUAGACAAUCUCGAUUUACCUGAAUUGAUCUGUUCUCUGAAGAAUUUCAUGUUGUUCACCUGCUUCUUUGUCAUGGAUCUCAUGCAACUCCUCUGUAUUCUCAGGAAUUUGAAGUUUUCGGUUUUUGAUGGCAACCACACAAACCUAAACAAUCAAGAACAAACUUAAUCAACCUCUAAUUACGCAUUUAUGAAUGAAAGUAAUUGGCUCCUAACUCAGACAGUGUCUUUCUUAAAUAUUAAAGUUUGACACGUCUGCAUAAAUUUGUGAUUAAUUACCUGUAGGAUACUCAGGAGGGGACUUCCCUUGGGAACAUUGUUUCUGUAGAGUGACUUUCCCAUGCACACGAAAAGAAGAGCAAAGAGAACUGCAAUGGUGCACACAACAAAGGACAAGUCCCAACCAUGGUUGGUGCUGAUCCAAACCACAAAAGUGACACCAAAAAUAGCUCCAAUGGUGAGGCUGAACAAGAACCAGUUGAAGAAGCUGGACAACUGUGCUGCUCCCUUAGGGUCCUUCUCGUCGUAUUGGUCGGCUCCCAGGGCCGGCAAAGCUGCCUUGACGCCGCUGGUGCCUAAAGCCAUUAGGUAGAGUCCGGUGUAGAGCAUUGCAAGUUGGCUUGUGUUUGGAGCCUCACACUGGUACAUUUGGCUUGGUGCAACACCUUUGCAAGGGAAUGGCCUUAGUUGAGGGAAGUGUGCUUGUAUUGUUAACAGACCAAGUCCCUGCGAAUUUGUAAAUUAAUAAAUGAUUAGUUUUAGCCUUUCUUUUCGAUGAAUUCUAGCAUCAGUUGCGUAUACACAAAUAAACUUAUUAUAAUCAUUUUUUUCCCCAAAAUAAGAACGAUCAGGAUUAGCUCAUGAAGAAGUAGCACUCUUUUUUAACUAAAUUUGUUAGUUUACUGGUUUGUAAGAGGGAUAGGACUGCUAAGUUCCACAUGUAAGUACUGUUUAAUUAAGUGACAUGAUGUCAUCAUGAUUGUCUGCAUGCUGGAUCAUCAACCAACAGUAGCCACAUGAUAUCAUCAGCUAUCAUGGGGUUUACCAAUGAUCUUCUGGCUCUCCAUUAAGUCUAAAAUUAGAUUAUUCCUUUUGCAUUAAUCAAAUAUUUGCAGGCCGACAAGGCGCUUUUAUGCCCUUUUUUUAGGUUGGGUUGCUGGAUACGGGAUCCUGGUAGUAGGCUGGACCAACAUCCAGCCGAGAGAGGGCAGCCUUUACAAAUAAACAGUCUUUGGCUUCUUUUCUAAAGUUUCACUAAAAUUGAUUAUUUUGGUCUUUGCCAGAUGCAAUAUGCUAUUCGAAGAAGAUUCUUUUUAAGGAAAACUAAUGAAAAGAGUUUGAAAAUUUUGAGUUUUAACGAUAAGGACAAAAUAAAGGGUAAAGUGAAUAGUAUUAGGAUUGACUUUUUAGUGUAAAAAUAUGGUUUUUCGUUAAAGUGAACAGUACCGGGAGUUUUUCGUUAAAGUUCUCUUCUUUUUAUUAGGUGACCCUGACUACACACCAAUAUUCAACCUAUGGCUGUCAAAACAACCUAUCUUUCAUCCCGCUUUAAGCAACUGUGAACUGUUUAUAACACACAUAAAAGAUAAUGCUAGGGUGACUAAAUUUGUAGACAAAAUUUUGUAAACUAAAUAACAUGAAAGUUGAUGAUUGAAUUAUUUUUAAGUGUUGAUAAACGUGCAUGCUAAUUCUUAUUGGUGACACAUAAUUUAGUUUGCAAAUUUUGUAUAUAAAUUAGGCUCUCUAGCAUUACACACUCAAAUAUACCAUGUGAUAACUGUUGUAUAUACAAACAAAUAGACCACCAUUAAAUAACAAUAUAUAGUAAAAAUGUCUUAUUUUCUUUUAGAAGAUACUUACCACCAAUUCAAUGCAGAUGAAGACGACACAAGUUUUGAAUCUCGACCAAUAAGUAUCAGAGAUGAAGCCACCAACUAGGGUUAGUAUAAAUGCAGUCCCCAUGAAGUUGGUAAGAGUGGUGGCAGACUUUGUCAAGCUCAAGUUCAUAUAUCCAUAGAAAUAAGUCACAAGGCUCAUAGCAUUUGCAAUAAACGCCAUGUUCUCGAGUCCCUCCGUCGCUGCACGCAUGCACGUAAAUUCAGCAUGAAUAGUAAUUACGUACUUAAAGAGAAACUAAAAUCUAAAAAAGGAGUAAAUAUGAUAAUUUCAAUCGUAAAAGUUACCGAAAACGAAAAGUGCAGCUCGAUUUCCUCCUAGCCUUGCUGCAGCUGCCUGCUUAGGCUUGCCUUCAAACCUUUGGGAGAUGUCGGCCUAUUCAUAUAUAAUCUCAUAUUAGGGUUUUAAAAUGACAAAUAAAUAUGGGAUCAUAUAAAUGAUCUUAAUAAUUUUCUUUCUGUUGAGCUUGAAUGAUGCCUCUAGAAAGGUGAAUUACCAUUGUGCCUUGAAGUGUAGGAGGAGGGGGCCUGGUCUUCCGACUCUUCUGAGUUUUGUGGAGGUUGGAUGAUGGUUUCAUACUGAUACCCAAAAAGGAAUAUAUAUAGAGACGUACGGAUGCUUUUCUGGACAAAUGAUAACAAAAAGGAAUCAAUUGGCAUCUUUGGAUUUUGGAAGACUUGCUUGGCCAUAUUUUGUUUCUUAUAGGACCUAUAUGACUCUAUCUCUCUGCAUAAUAUGUAUUUAAUUAUGUAAUAAGGGUAUUGCCACGCUCAUGUGUGAGAAAUGAUAUAUGUUUCUUAACAUCAUUUAAAUUAAAAUGUUGAAUUUUUCUUGAGUAGUUUUUUUUUUUUAAUUUUUUUUAAUUUUUUUUUUACUACCCCACCCCUUACCCACCCCAAAGCCUUAACCCAAGACCUCCUAGACUACCUCACCCCUUACCCACACCCUCACCACUAGGCUAGUCCUAGUGGCUUGAAUUUUUCUUGAGUAGUUACGUACACUCAGUGUCGACACAUAUUUGAUCAUUAAAUUUGAUCCAAUACAUAUUUGACCAUUAAAUUUGAUCCAAUGAUUCUUUCUUCAUCUUCCCAAUUCUACCAGCACACAGACCAGAAACUCUCUCUCUUGCAAACAAAAAAAUUAGCAAAUUUCCAAUUUAAUAGAUAGUUUGAGUCGAAAUCUCAAACUUUUUGGUUGGUUUGUUUGUUGCUGUUGUUGUCCUGCUCUCUCUCUCCCCCCCCCCUCCGACACUGCGACUUAAGGAUUAACAGGAAAAAUUUCUAAUAUGUUCCCCCUAAAUCAUCAUUUCCGAUGAAACAGUUCCCAAUUUCUUAUUUCUCACCGGUUUUGAUAUGGGUUCCUCUCUUUUUAUGAGAUUGAGGUCAACGGUUGUUUGUUUUUCAUAAUUGCAGUUGUUUUGUGGCCGUUCGAUUGAUGGGGAAUCAUCCUAGCCAUCUAUUGGUCGUAGUACCAGAUACUACGUAGUACGUAGUAUUAAAGAUUAUUCAUACAAACUUACAAAGUACUAUAUAUUUGACAAUUUACAAUGGUAUCACGGGUACAGGUAUCCACAGCAUAGAGUACUCUAUAAUAUAAAUAGGAAUUAAUCAAUUGGUAAAUUAGGGGUUUCAAGCUGCAGGGUUUGCAUUUCAAGCAUCCGAGCCAUCGUAAUUAUUCAAGGUAAUUACUAAUUAAGAUUCUUAAUUAAAUUAAAUUUAAGGGUUUAUAUAGUAGUAUUAUUUGGUGAGAGGCAAGAGAUUAGAAUUACACAUGAAGCAGACAAAGGUUGAAUUAUAUAUAGGGUUUGUUAAGAGGUGGACAUCAAAGCUGAGGUAUAUUUGUCUCUUCCACUUGUAUUUAAAAAAUGGAAUUUACUUUGUUUUCUUCUUUUCAGUUUGUUCAUUUUUUGAACUGUUGCAAUGUUUGCAACUACUUAUUAAUCCUUGAAACUAUAAGAGCUGUCUUAUUAUCCUUUUUAUAUGUUACUUUCCUCCAUCGUCAUUUCUCACCUUGCAUUUUAUGACUAAAUAGCUAGUCAAAAUAUAAAUGCCAAAAGAUUCAUGGAGUCAAAUAAUAAAGUUCAACUCUAAUUGAAUUACAUAGUUAUAAUUGAUUUGAAUUAGGGUUAGAGUUUUAAUUAGUUAGCUAUGUUAGAAUUCCUCUGUCUCACAUCGGCCAUAGAGCUUGAGAACAAACCCUUUAAAUAGAAUUACCCCACUCUAACUAAUACCAAGGUCUUUUGUAUUAAAACCCCACACCUGACGGAUUGAGCAGGUGGCCAAGUGGGGACAGUAUCGGUGUUGUUGGAGUGGGCCCAUGGCCCGUCUACCUGAAAUUUAAGAUGGUAUCAGAGCCAGGAGACGAGUCUCGUCUACCUGAAAUUUAAGAUGGUAUCAGAGCCAGGAGACGAGUCUGUACUACCAUGUGAACGGGUGGGUCCCCUUUGACCCCGCGCAAAUGGGUGAGCCCUAACAUGGCUCCACAUAGGCCAAAAAAAAAAGCCACGUUCAUUGGCCCAGCGCGAACGGGUGAGCCCCGACUUGGCUCCAUGUGGUUGCAGAUGUGUGGAACUCCACGUGUGGCCCAUAAAAUAGGGUCUCACGUGCGGGGGAGUGUUAGAAUUCAUCUAUCCCACAUCGGCCACAGAGCUUGAGAACAAACCCUUUAAAUAGAAUUACCUCAGUCUAACUAAUACCGAGACCUUUUGUAUUAAAACCUCACACCUAACGGAUUGAGCAGGUGAUUAAGUGAGGACAAUAUCGGUGUUGUUGAAGUGGGCCUAUGGCCUGUUUACCUGAAAUUUAAGAAGCUAUUCCUUGUGCCAAAAAGAAAAGUGAAAUCUGUAUUCCUUCCUGUUGGUUAUAAGGGGUUCUUAUGUGGAAUACAUUUUCAUGGGCUUUAUCAGUACGGUUUCUAGCAUCCGUGAGUGAGUAUAAUUCUAAGAACUUGAAACUUAUAUAAAAUUCAGGCCGCUUUGCACACUACUAACACCACAAUAGUAAGAACUCCCCAUUAGUUUAUUGUAUAAGGAACAACAGUGCAUAGAAGUGCUUCAAUCUAUUCCGUCUUGAAGUUUGAUCAUCUAUAAAUUCAUCAUGUCAUCUUCUCCAGGUAUGCAAGGUUUACGUGUUUUGAUUUGAUGAAUUGAUAAAGUUUACAAAGAUUUGGACUUAAGUUGGUUAUUAAGAGUGUUUGACAAAUAAAUUACACAUGAGUCUUGCGUAGUCAGGGAACUUAUAUGAACAUGAAUUUGAAAAUUGUGAGUGUGAACAUGAAUUUGAAAAUUGUGAGUGUGCCGCUACUUGUUCCCGCUAAUAGAUUAUGAUGCAAAAUUAUGCUAUUUAACUUCUAACUAAAAUUAAGAGGCUCAACUUAAAUUCUUUCUUUGUCUUACUUAUUUAAGAACUCCUCUUACAUAGAUAUAUAACAAGGUGAAAAUUAUUGGAAUAUGAAUUGAUAUGAAUUUGGUUAUAUUCAAUAAUAUUCAAUUGCAAUAGAAAAGAGCUGCAAUUAAAUUGAUUAAAUAAGGGAUUUGACAUAAUGCGGCCACCGCCUAAAACAUCUUAUCCCCAUCGACCAACGCCCAAACAAAAGGAAGACUAUUCCUUUAUUGCCAAAGCAAGUCUAUUUGGUGGCAACCAUAAUAUACCAAGCCAUUUUUGUCUUUGGACUCAAAUAAGUGAAUCAAAUUUAGAGCACAUAUUUUGUACCUGAAGUUUCAAGUUCGAAUUUCUCCUUUUUAAUAUCUGUUGUAUCAAACGAAACAGUUUAUCAUCCAAAUCAUGCUUACAAAUCAAACCUCCCAUUAAGUACAAACUCUCCAAGCAUACAAUUCAAAAACAAAAAAUUUAGAAAAAAAAUGUUUGAUCUUAAUGAUGGCAAACAAGUGAGCCAAGAACAGGCUUUGGUCUUUUUAUUUUUUAUUAAUUCAACAACACAAACAACAACAACAACAACAACAACAACAACAAAGCUUUUUCCCACUAAGUGGGGUCGGCUAUAUGAAUCCUAGAACGCCAUUGCGCUCGGUUUUGUGUCAUGUCCUCCGUUAGAUCCAAGUACUCUAAAUCUUUUCUCUCAUCUUUCCUUCAAUUUCGGCUACUCCUACUUUACCUCGGAUAUCCUCAUUUCUAAUCUUAUCAUUUCUCGUGUGCCCACACAUCCAACGAAGCAUCCUCAUCUCCACUACACCUACGUGUUGAUGCUUCACCGCCCAACAUUCUGUGCCAUACAACAUUGCCGGCCUUAUUGCCGUCCUAUAAAAUUUUCCCUUGAGCUUUAGUGGCCUACGACGGUCACACAACACGCCGGAUGCACUCUUCCACUUCAUCCAUCCAGCUUGUAUUCUAUGGUUAAGAUCUCCAUCAAAUUCUCUGUUCUUUUGCAAGAUAGAUCCUAGGUAGCGAAAACGGUCGCUCUUUGGUAUUUCCUGAUCUCCGAUCCUCACCCCUAACUCAUUUUGGCCUCCGUUUGCACUGAACUUGCACUCCAUAUAUUCUGUCUCUGAUCGGCUUAGGCGAAGACCUUUAGAUUCCAACACUUCUCUCCAAAGGUUAAGCUUUGCAUUUACCCAUUUCAUCUAUCAACACUAUAUCAUUUGCGAAAAGCAUACACCAAGGAAUAUCAGCUUAAAUAUGUCAUGUUAACUCAUCCAUUACCAACGCAAAAAGGUAAGGACUUACGGAUUGUUGAUGCACAAAAGCAGUGAGGACUUUGGUACAACAGAAAGUAUUAAGUUUGUGAUCUUCGCUAGAUUGCUCCGGUCAUUAGUGUGGAUAAGUAUGUAAAUGGAUAGAGACAGGAAAGCAAACACAAGAUGUACGUGGUUCACCCAGAUUGGCUACGUCCACGGAAUAGAGGAGUUCUCAUUAAUUGUGAAGGGUUUACACAGUACAUAGGUUCAAGCUCUCCUUUAGUGAGUACAAGUGAAUGAUUUAGUACAAAUGACAUUAGGAAAUAUUGUGGGAGAAUGAUCUCAUAAUCACGAAACUUCUAAGUACUGAAGUGUGGUAUCAUCUUCACUUGCCUUAUCUGUCUCAUAGGUAGAUGUGGCAUCUUCUCUGGAAGUACUCUUCCUCCAUCCAGGGGUGGUAUCCUUAACUGGUGAAGAUGCACAAGGUAAUGUAUCAAUUUCACUUGAAGCUUACUUGUAGUUUUAGGCUUGGUCAAGCGCGAUACAAACCAUGUAGUAGGAGUCCCCCAAGUCGCCGAGCUAGGGGAUCUGCUGAAAGAGGUGAUAGACAAGGUAAGCAAUCAGAGCUCCCAAGCAAUCAGUCCCAGAUCAGAAGUUUGAUUUCGAGUUCCGGCUGAUUGUUCUCAUUCUCCCUAUCUUGCAAGCAGCAUGAAGGAUAAAGAGAAGAAAAGGAGAAGAGGUGAUAUGAGAUACUUUUGCUUUUGAAGAAGUAACUUUCCACAGGCUUAUUCUUGAACUGGGCUGGAGGGUUUUCUGGUUUCCUCCAGAGUAUAAGGCCGACUGAAGAAUUUGAGGGUCAAAACAAGUCCAUCAAAUCUAGAGUACGUUCGACCCUGCUGAUAUAGGAUACUUUUGCUGUUGACAAAGUAGUGGAUGUAUCGGCACGUGUUUUGUUGCUUGUCUCCACAUGCUUCCUUGUAUCCUUCUCACUUGCCCUAUCUGUUCCUCAGGCAGAUAUGGUAUCUUCUCUGGAAGCAUAAGAUGUUAAGAUGAGUACUUGAGAGCAAUGCCAGGUAAGUAAUCAGGUAAGGGGUUCCAGGCAGUCAGUUCCGGACUGGAAGCUUGAUUCCAAGUGCUGACUGAUUGCUCUCUUUCUCCUUGUCUUGCAGGUAAGAACAAGGCCAAAGGAAAAAACAGGGAAAAAGCAUGAUAUGGGAUACUCUUGCUUUUAACCCUGAUGAUAUGAGAUAUUCUUGCUCUGGUGUAGUUUGUUUGCAGAGGUAUUCUCGCGGGGGGGGGAAAGAAAGCUGAGUAUUUCGAGAGACUUUGUUGGGAGUGCCCUUUCAGAUAUGAGAAAGGGUUGAACAUUUUUGCAGGUCUGCCUGUCCAUUGAGGAUGAAGGUCGACAUAUAUAGGAGUCUCCCUAACAAUAAGUAACAAUGCUAUUUUUUUACCCUGCUUGGUCAUAGCACGGUAGUGGGAGCUGCCAGCUUUACGUGUUUUAACUCUGUCAGAGCACUUUGAAAAAGUAGUCUGUGGUAUCUGGAAAGCUGAUGUUGCGUGUGAAGAUUACAGACAAGCUUUAUCCAAGGAGAUCUGGCUCUUGAAGUUGAGAAAGCAGUGUGAAGAUUACAGACAAACUUUAUCCAAAGAGAUCUGGCUCUCUAAGUUGAGAAAGUAGUGCCUCUUCGAUUUUCGAACAAGCAACCUGUCGGGGAUCUGUCUCUCGAGAUUCGGAGAACGGUGCCUCUUCGAUUUUUGAGAAAGCAAUCCUGCUAGAAGUCUGGCUCUCGAGAUUCGGAGAGCGGUGUCUCUUCGAUUUUUGAGAAAGUAAUCAUGUUGGGAGUCUGGCUCUCGAGAUUCGGAAGGCGGUGCCUCUUCGAUCUUGAAGCAAGCAAUCUUGUUGGGAGUGUUUUCUCGAAUGUGAGUAAAGGUUGGGCCUGUUUGCUAGUCUACCUUGCCACGGAGCACAGAGAUUGACACACAUGGACUUUCCAAUUACCCAGCAGUGGUCCUGCUCCUUUACCCUUGUGGGUAAUAAUAUGGUAGCUAGACCUUCAAAAUUUAUGUGUCUAAACUUUGUUAGUGCUGUUUCUUUGCUAUUCUUUUACCCUUCUUGGUCAUAGCGAUGUAAUGAGAGCUGCAAGCUUCACGUGUCUAAACUUUGUCAGAGAUCUUUGGCAAAGUUAUCUGUGGUGAGCUGAUGUUGCGUGUGGAAAGUGGAUGAUUGAACAGUAACAUUCACGUGCUUUCUACUUCACCAGAAAUCUUCGACAGAAUGCCCGUAAUUUCUGCAAAGUUGAGUGUUCAUGUGACAGGUGUUGACAAGGCUGAAAAAGUAGGUGCCUCUUCGAUUUCUGAGAUCGGCCCUCGUGGUCUCUGAGCAGCCCAGCUUUUGAGAAAGCAAUCGUCUCUUCGAUUUCUAUGAUCGGCCUUCGUAGUCUUUGAGCAGUCCAGCUUUUGAGAAAGCAAACGCCUCUUUGAUUUCUGAGAUCGGCCCUCGUGGUUUUUGAGCAGCCCAGCUUUUGAGAAAGCAAACGCCUUUUUGAUUUCUGAGCAGGCGCCUCUUCGAUUUCUGAAGCUCCGUCGAGUGCAGAUUUUUAUAGAGGUUGACAUUAAGUUCCAAAGCACACUUGAAUCUCCACCAGUAGAAGCUCCAUUCUUGCAUUUCUAAGAUCUUGAUUUGUCCGACCUCUUCCCUCUUCAACACCUUUGAAAAUGUCUGGCCCCUCCGACCAUCGUUUUGACUUGAACCUUGUUGAAGAGGCAGCCACGCCUUCUCCAGACAACAUAUGGCGCCCAUCCUUCUUAUCCCCUACUGGUCCUCUUACCGUUGGGGAUUCCGUGAUGAAGAAUGAUAUGACCGCUGCAGUGGUGGCCAGGAACCUUCUCACUCCCAAUGAUAACAGACUACUUUACAAACGGUCUGAUGAGUUGGCUGUUAAGGAUUCUCUGGCUCUCAGUGUUCAGUGUGCAGGUUCUGUGUCUAAUAUGGCCCAACGCCUAUUUGCUCGAACCCGCCAAGUUGAAUCAUUGGCGGCUAAAGUGAUGAGUCUCAAACAGGAAAUUAGAGGGCUCAAGCAUGAGAAUAAACAGUUGCACCGGCUCGCACAUGACUAUGCUACAAACAUGAAGAGGAAGCUUGACCAGAUGAAGGAAUCUGAUGGUCAGAUUUUACAUGAUCAUCAAAGGUUUGUGGGUUUGUUCCAAAGGCAUUUAUUGCCUUCGUUUUCUGGGGCAGUACCGCGUAAUGAAGCUCCAAAUGAUCAACCUGAUGCCUCUUCCUUCUAGGGUUCUGUCCAGUACUGAGGCUCCGAAUGAUCCCCCUCCGGUGCCUUAUCUGUCUGGGGCUCUACCGACUGCUGAGACUUCUCCUAAGCAACCUUUAUGAAGGCUCCCUCUUGUUUGUUUAUUUUGACUCAUGUAUAUGUACAUAUUUGUAACUUAUUGGAGAUAUCAAUAAAUAAGUUUUGUUUCAUUUCAACGUAUUAUGUUAAAUACACCAAAGCCUUCUUCACUAAGUUCUUUGAAUUUUUCUUUUAUUGAAACUUGUAUGUUGAAGCUUUGUGAGUGGAGCAUGUUGGUUGAGGUAGUGUUCCCUUAAUUUCCCGAGUGAGGAAAACUUCUCGGUUGGAGACUUGAAAAAUCCAAGUCACUGAGUAGGGUCAGCUAUAUGAAUCUUAGAACGCCAUUGUGCUCGGUCCUGUGUCAUGUCCUCCGUUAGAUCCAAGUACUCUAAGUCUUUUCUUAGAGUCUAUUCCAAAGUUUUCCUAGGUCUUCCUCUACCCCUUCGGUCCUAAACCUCUGUCCCGUAGUCGCAUCUUCUAACCGGAGCGUCAGUAAGCCUUCUUUGCACAUGUCCAAACCACCGUAACCGAUUUUCUCUCAGCUUUCCUACAAUUUCGGCUACUUCUACUUUACCUCGGAUAUCCUCAUUCCUAAUCUUAUCAUUUCUCGUGUGCCCACACAUCCAACGAAGCAUCCUCAUCUCCGCUACACCCAUUUUGUGUACGUGUUGAUGCUUCACCGCCCAACAUUUUAUGCCAUACAGCAUCGCCGGCCUUAUUGCUGUCCUAUAAAAUUUUCCCUUGAGCUUCAGUGGCAUACGACGAUCACACAACACGCCGGAUGCACUCUUCCACUUCAUCCAUCCAGCUUGUAUCCUAUGGUUGAGAUCUCUAUCUAAUUCUCCGUUCUUUUGCAAGAUAGAUCCUAGGUAGCGAAAACGGUCGCUCUUUGGUAUUUCCUGAUCUCUGAUCCUCACCCCUAACUCAUUUUGGCCUCCAUUUGCACUGAACUUGCACUCCACUCCAUAUAUUCUGUCUUUGAUCGGCUUAGGCGAAGACCUUUAGAUUCCAACACUUCUCUCCAAAGGUUAAGCUUCGCAUUUACCCCUUCCUGAGUUUCAUCUAUCAACAUUAUAUCGUUUGCGAAAAGCAUACACCAAGGGGAAAGGGACACAGAUGUAGUUGGUUAAGCUUGACCACAUGACUAUGCUACAAACAUGGAGCUACUUUAUCAGUAUAUAUUUGAAAACAAGGGGAAAGGGACACAGAUGUAGUUGGUUAAGAUGCUUCUCGAUUAGCUAUGAAAUCUUUAUAUGUGCAUGGGGUGUUGGCUGGUCAAUUUCUCACCUGCCCAAGCAUGCAUAAGCUCAGGUUCUAAAGUAUAAUUUAUACCCUGGAGCUAGCCAAUUAAACUGUUUUUUAUGCUUUGACUAUAGACUAUAGUCUGUUUUUCCGUCCUAAAUCAAUAUUUUGUUAUAAAUAUGAUAUUUUGUUUCUUUCUCAAAACUGUUACGUAUGUGAUCAAUUCAAAAAGCACUACAAUUUAGCUUGUCAAAUGAAAAGUUCGAUGCGGUAGGUUUUAAGUUCGAGUUAUAUGUAUGAUGAGUUUGAUAUCUAAUUAUUAUAGCUGAUUUAUUGUGUGACUUGACCGAAUCCGUUAACCAUUAGGAUUUAUUGUUUAUAAAGAAAAAAAAAAGUUUUUUUGUUGGGCUACUAAGUCAACUUGCUAUAUCAUCAUGUUCAUGUGCCAUAUUUUGUUAUUGCCUAAUCACCUGUUCUUAUAACAGUCGUCUUGUUUAUCCAGGGAUGGACCCUGAAUUUCAAAGUUGUCCGAGCUAAAUUUACCUUACGUACAAUACAAGAGAUAAAGGAGAGGAAAGUACUUUGUCACGGCUACACGAAACUAAUGUAUUUGGGAUAGGAUCUUCACCCAUUGCUGGUAGAAAUGCUUUCUCGUCGAUUGUAUUUGGAACAAUUGAACUGGAGGUUUCUCUAUUUAGUUAAGUUACUUUCCAACCGUUUGCGUUUCAAAUCCUCUUCCUCCUCUUAGUAUACUUUAAAGCAAUGUCACUUGUAAUAAAGAACAAUACAAAACCCAGUUAGUCGAUAUUUAUUACAUGUUUACUUCAAGUAAAGAUACAUAAACCGUUGGAGCAAGGGAAUAAGCAAAAUAAAUCUGUUCAACUAGCCAACCUAGUUUAUACAAUUCUUAAUUUUCAGAUAUUAACUCAUAAGCUUUCAAGCAGGAGUUGUCCACACCUAGACGGAUUUCAUUUGUAUUAAAACAAUUUUUUUUUUUUUAAAUCAGAAUGAUUUGAAUUCUCAUAUACAUGUCAUUAACAUUAAAAUUUGAAACAUAAACCCAAUAUGACGCCUUUUAUGGUCUAAUUGUAAUAAGCCCACGAUGUAGUUCACCACAUGAUGUGCAUAAUCAAAAGAAGGCCCAAUGUUAGCAUACUUCUUACUUGCCCAAGCCCAAAACUAGAGGUGUGUUCGGUUUCAAGUUGUUCAGUUUUUGUCAAAACCGAAACUAAACCAAAAUUUCAGUUCGGUUUAAUAUUUUUAGGUUUUUGUUCGAUUCAGUUUAAUUUUGGUUUGGUUUGGUCUUUUCUUUGCUUUGAUUCGGUAUUCGGCUCGAUGUUUUUUCGGCUUUCGGUUCUUUAAGGUACUGUUUGGUACGUGGGAUGGGACAAAACAUGUUCGUCCCACGUUUGGUGCAUGAAUGAAUUUUAGUUCAAAUUUCAUUCCACCUCCACCCUAGAACGACUCCUUUCACCCUCGUAGAACACAAAAUUAUAAAGACAAAAAUACCCCUUAUCUUUUUCAAUAUUUACACCAUCCAAAUCAUAAAACAAACCCAAAAUCAUCUUCUUUCCAUAGAGUUGUGUGAAUUCUGACAGCAAAACAAGAUGUCGAAGGAAAUAACCAGGUGUGUCGAUGUCGAUGUCGAUCGCAGGAUUUUCAUAGAAGAAGUUUUUUGUUGUAGAUCUGUUAAAUAAAUAGCACCUUCUGCAUUUCGUUCCAAAAAAUAUCCAAUUUUCCCUUUACUGGUUCUCUCUGAUUUAAUUCCUGCACUUUUCAUUUGUGAAUUAAAGGUAACUUUUCUCACUUAGUUUUACGUUAUACCUCAUAUCCUUUGUUUGGUUGCUGAGAAAAGUCUGAAAAGUGAAAACCGUUUUAGUUUUGAUUGCAUUUUCUCAUUUUACAACUUAAUUGAAGGUAAUUUCUCACUUGUGGUAAAUCUGGGAAAUUAAAAUGAAAACUGGGAUAUAAAAAGAAUUUUAGUUGAAUGAUGUGUUGCAUGUGGUUUCUGGGCUCGGAUGAACAAAAACCCUUGUGUCAAACUUAGCUUAAACUUAAAGCGAGUUAUUAUUUCGAUUUACUAUAUUUUCCACCAACAAAAUGGUGUAGUAGUUGGAUUUACCUCUUUCUUUUCACCGUAUGAAAAUAUAUUAAUUUUGGGUAAAUUUAGUUUUUAUCGUCUCUCUAAUUUAUUUUAAACUUUACAUGUUGCAGGAGAUUAGUCAACUUUGUAUUUUAAAGAACUCUGCAAAGAUUACUGCUUAUUUUGCAAUGUAUUGUGGUUGAAAUGGCUGCAAUUUGAUUCUGUGACAAGGCUAUGUUGUGGCUGCUUUCGUAGUGGAGGCUGUCUUUUUUACCUGACUUGUGGUAGCUGAAAACCGUGCUUCUUGCCUGAAACGAUUUAAUGGAACAAAGUUUAGGUCAAGAGUCUGUUCCUGGUUUUGGGUUACUUGACAAGUCUAGGGUUUUAGAUGUAAGGCCUUUGAGGCGUCUUGUUCCGUUGUUCCCGUCAACUUCUAAUAAUACUUCAUUUUCAACUCCACAAGGUGCUGCUCCUUUCGUUUGUGUUUCUCCUGCUGGCCCUUUCCCAAACAAUAGUUACAAUAUGAAUUCAUACAUCCCUGUCAAAAUACGAAUUUCAACCAAGGAUGGAAGGUACCAAGUUUAGGACAACAAACCUCUUCACAUCAUUGAUCCGAGAAGCUUCAACCAUGUUGAAGCUAAUCAUGGUAUUGUUAUAAAAGAUGACGGAACGGUUGGACUGAAUGAAGCCCAUUCUGUUCAUAUCAGCUACGAGUUUGAACACAUGGUCAGUACUUCAAUUUGAGUAAAUUCAUCCAUGACCCAUGACCAUGAGUAAAAAUUAUGAUACAUUAUGCAUAGACAAUGGCAUAGCAUAUCUUCAAUCAUGUGCUAGUGUAAAAAAUAUAUCAUAGAUAAGCAAAUACGAACAAGUUAAAAAAAAAAAAAGGAGUUAUGUCCUGUUCCAUGCAUAUACAUUGUACCAAACAACAGACGGAAUAAGGGUAAGUUAAUCAUUUAAUUUUUUGGUUUUGUUCUGUCAUGUGUUUACCAAACGCAAAAUGAAACAACCGUCUCGUUCCGUCCUGUGCGUACCAAACAUAACACGGAACUUCCGUUCCAUUUCAUUCCGUCUCGUCCCGUUUGUGUACCAUACGGUAACUAAACCCACCCUACCCAAAACGAUGUGGUUCUGACUCGCGCGAAUGGCCCAAUGUUAGCGUACUUCCCAAUGCUCCCUCUUUUGUCUUCUUCCCCGCUUGGCUUCGCGCUGAUUCGUUUGAACCUGUAACCGACCACGGACGGCUUUUCCGAAACCUUAGUCCUUAAGUCUCGGAUGAGCCUGAAACAAAAAGCCGAACAAUCUUCUCGCAACCAAAAUAUCAUCCGACCGGAGAAAAGUUAAGCACAGCAGAAAUGGAUCUGAGAGAAAGCAUCAUCAACCAAAACAACUUCGCUCUGGGGCUGACGAAGCAGCUGCUUCAGACCGAAGGCAAGCAAUCGAACCUCGUGUACUCGCCGCUGUCCAUCCACGUGCUGUUGAGCCUGAUCGCGGCCGGGUCAAAGGGUCCGACUCAGGACCAGCUGCUGUCUUUUCUCCAGUCAAAGUCCACCGACCACCUCAGCUCCUUCGCCGCCGAGCUCGUCUCUGUGAUUUUCUCCGAUGGGUCCCCUAGCGGCGGCCCCCAGCUGUCGUUUGCAAAUGGUGGUUGGGUGGACAGGCGUCUCCCUCUGAAGCCAUCUUUCAAGCAGGUGGUGGAAACUUCUUACAUGGCCGCUCUCACCCAAGUCGAUUUUCAGACCAAUGUAAGCUCCCAAACCCUCUGUCCUGUCGUUUCGAUUUUUUUUUCGACGAUGCUCUUGAUCAAAGUCUUCUAUUUUUUCGAUGUGAUUAGAGAUGCUUGUUCCUUUGGGGUGCGUUUGGUACGCAGACGGAACGGGACGGAACGAAGGUGUAAUUUUUGAAAAAGGUAUAUUUGUCUUAAAAUGGUAAAACAUUGCGUUCCACAAACGUGGAACAAACCCGUUCUAGGGGGGAGGUGGAACGCAAAAACACUCAAAAUCUGUCCCGUGGAACAGCCCGUUCCACCCAUUUUUGGCGCACCAAACGAGGGACGGAACGACUCGUCCCGUUCCGUCCCGUCCCGUCCCACGUACCAAACGCACCCUUGUUGAACCUAAAUUGUAGGCCUGCUUCUCUAAUCAUUACUGUUUGUGUUAAAUUAUUAUUGCCAAGAACUAGAUUAAGUUGCAGUAAUCACAAUCAAGUAAAGCACAAAAACCUUUUCAUAUAAAAGCAUUGCAAUUCACUAACCUGAUGAACCGCCACCUGAAGACGCCAUGAAUGCUGCAAACCGAUCUCAGUGCACUGUAACUCUUCUCCUAUGAUGCACGGAUACUUCUAUUUGGUCCCGUAUCUCCCGUAUCCCGUAUCCGAUACUUGAUUGGAUACGAUACUUGCCCGAUACUCUUGGAUACUCGUCCGACAUGUAUCCUGGUCCUGCUUUUAAGAUACAUUUACACUUUCAAAAAAAAGUAAUGAGGAAGAGAAAAUUAAUAGGAGACAUCUAUAAUUGAAAGUUGCUAAAUACAAAGAGUUUCCCUCUAAUUAAAACCAUGAAUACGACUCUCACACUUCUUCUACUAUAUAAAGAGGAUUAGAUUUCGAACUUUCAUUCUCUAACAAUUCAAAUGUACUUGAAUUUGAAUGAUGAAUUAUGUUUUAAAAUGUAAAUUUUUGUUGCUAUAUACAUUUUUAUUUGCCGUAUCCAUAGCGUAUCGUAUCUUAAUUUUUGGAGAUUUUCCGUAUCGUCGUAUCGUAUCGCUGUAUCCGUAUCCGUAUCCAUGUUUCAUAGCUCUUCUCCUCUCUGUCAGAUUAUUUCAACCUCUAACCAAGAAUAGGGCUUAGUUCCGAAGAGAGCACUAAUCCGUGAGAGUAGAGGUCACAAUAUAUAUAUAUAUAUAUAUAUAUAUAUAUAUAGGAUUAAUGAACAAAUAUUUUUAGAAACAUUUUUACACUUCUUUAUUGCCUUUAGAUUUUAUAACAUGCAAGGAUUCUUAUUAAUUCAUUAAAUGCUAUGAAUGCUUACGUGAAAUUUAACUAAUAUUAAAGCUAAAAAUAAUUUUUUUUUUUUUAAAAUUCGUAGCUGUAAUCAUGAAAAUGGGGAAUGUGGUCUACAACCUCAUUCUCCCCAACUCUACAACUUCCACACUCGAAUAUUCUUAGGUAAGCAAAACAAAACCCUAAAAUUUAUAUUAUUGUUCAUAUAAGUAGGGUGAUUAAAUUAUAUUUUGGAAUUUUUUUUUAGUUUUGUCAAGUCAUGUAUUUGACGGGUUCUUUUCAAAUCUAACAAACAACCAUCUCAAUAUGCAGUCCAUGUGUUUCGAUUGAAAAUUUGUUGAAACAUGGAAAUGAAACGAGGCAAGAAAAUCAAUAUCUAAGUUACAAUCUGGAACCAAAAGCAUACAUUCUCAUAUGUACUGACAUCAAAAUGCAGGAACGUUACAUAAGCCACCCUUUUGAGUUCAAUCGAGAUUCGAAACAUAUGACAGCGUAUUGAGAUAGUUGUUUGUUUGAUUUGAAAAACUAAAGGAGUAGAAAAAUCUUCAAAUACAUGAACAGACAACUAUAUUUUGUUUCCAAAUCCGAAUUUAAUCAUCAUACAUAUGCGAACAAUAAUAUCAAAUUUAGGUUUUUGUUUUGCUUGCCUAAUGAGAUUCAAGCAUGGAAGUUGCAGACCUGGGGGAGAUAGGAGUUUGCAGGCGUGGAGGUUGCAGAGACCUCUUUUAGGGUUUCUUCCUUUUUAAUUUUUUUUUAAAUUUUUUUUUCUUCCAAAUUUUAUGUUUUUUUUUAUCUUUAAUAUUAGUUAAAAUCUACAUAAGCAGUCAUGGUGUUUAAUGAAUGAAUAAGAACCAUUGGAUGUUAUAAAAUCUAAAGGCUACAAAGAAGUGUAAAAAUGUUUGUAAAAAUAUUUGUCCCUUAAUCCUAUCCCUAUAUAUAUAGGCACAUAAAUUUCAUAACUCAAUAAGGAUUCCCUUUAAAAUCCUUUUAGAAAACAACUUAUGUUUCCCAAUUCAAAUCAGUUUAAUGUCAAAACAGAAUCCUUCGUAAACAAGAAUUAGUAUACAACCUCUCAUAAGGUUUUCUUAUACCAAUUGGACUUAAUGCUGUCAAAACAUCCAAUCUCAUGUUCAUACUCUUACUGUUUGUGCUUGUUCUUCUGCAUAGCUUAGCUGGCUAUUACAGAAUCAUAUCGUAAUUCGUAGAUUUUUGUUAUAGUACGGUCAUCACUACGUUAAUAGUAUUGAAGUAACAUGCAGGCUGAUAUAUUAUUGUUUUCUAACUUGUCGUAACUGUUGUUGGUGCUCAAGGCUGCUCAAGUGGCCUCGGGAGUGAAUUCAUGGGCUGAAAAGGAGACGAGAGGCCUUAUCAAGGAGGUACUUCCUCCUGGGUCAGUUGACUGCUCAACCACGCUCAUCUUUGCAAAUGCGUUAUACUUCAAAGGAGCUUGGACUGAAAAGUUUGAUGCAUCACAAACGAAAGAGCAUGAUUUCCACCUUCUCGAUGGGAGCGCAGUUAAGGUGCCCUUCAUGACCAACAGGAAGAAGCAGUGUGUAAGAUCCUUCAAUGGUUUCUCAGUCUUAGGGCUUCAUUACAAGCAAGGUGAAGACAAGCGAUGUUUCUCCAUGCACAUCUUUCUUCCAGAGGCGAAAGAUGGGCUGCCAGCUUUGGUUGAGAAACUUGGUUCUGAGUCCGGGUUUUUGGAUCGCCAUCUUCCCAAGCAAAAAAUUGCCGUGGGUAAUUUCAGGAUUCCAAAGUUUAAGAUUUCAUUUGGGUUUGAAGCUUCGAAUGUCCUUAAAGGUCUGGGCUUGGUGCUGCCAUUCGGUGGUGGAGGAGGUUUGACAGAGAUGGUGGACUCGCCUGAGGGUAAGAACUUAUACGUGUCCAGCAUUUUCCAUAAGUCGUUCAUCGAAGUGAACGAAGAAGGCACGGAAGCCGCAGCUGCUUCCGCCUUUCGUAAAACUAUGCUGUGUCUGCCGAGGGCGGUUGACUUUGUGGCUGAUCGUCCAUUCCUCUUCUUGGUCAAGGAAGAAUUGACCGGAGCCGUGCUGUUCAUCGGCCAUGUACUCAAUCCUCUUGCAGGCUGAGUGUUGUUAUACCCUGUGAAAUACAAAUGUAUACGAAGAACCACACGAGAAUAUAUAUAUAUAUAUAUAUAUAUAUAUAUAUAUAUAUAUAUAUAUAUAUAGGAAUUGCUUAAGGGGAGGGAUCCCCAUUUUUUCAAAAAAAUGGGGACACGCUCCCCACCGUUGGAUUUGAAUUAAAUGAAAUCCUGUGGUUGAGAUUCUAUGGCCUGUGUUUUAAUCUCAACCACACAAUUUCAUUAAAGUCAAUCUAACGGUGGGGAGCGUGUCCCCAUUUUUUUUAAAAAAAUGGGGAUCCCUCCCCUUAAGCUCCCUGUAUAUAUAUAUAUAAUGUACAAAAAUGCUAAUCUUGUCAUCUAUUUGUAACAUCUCUCUAAUAAAGAUGGAUCCACAUGCACUGGCGGGCCUUACAUCUACUAGAUAGAUGGUACAAAUAGGUGUUAAGUAUAGCAAUCAUGUAUUCAUAAACAAAAAUGCUAUUCUUACUAUUUAGUUUGAUCAUCUUUCAAUAGAGAUGAGACCUAUAUGUGUUGGCUGAUCUUAUCCUUAUUAAAAAAAUAAUACAAAUGAUGGUAACUAGAUGAUAAGUAUAGCAUUACUCUAAAAUAAAUGUAUGAUAUCAUGUUCAUGUGGUCUUGUUUCUCUCAUGUGGCUUUUGUUAUGCGUUCUGCCUUGGCUACACGAAACCGUUGGAAAUGCUUUGGGAUAGGCGUUUUACCCAUUAUUGUUGGAAAUGCUUUUUUCUUCGGUUGUACUGGAAUGGUUUGGACUAGACGUGUUUUUUUAAUUUAGUGGUUGAUUGUCUCAGUGAAUAGUCAUUCCUCAUUCAUUUGUGUUUUGGGUUCAAGUUCUCUUCUUCUCCUAGUCUAGUUAAAGUAAUGUCGCUUGUAAUAAAAAAUAAUUUAUAAACCCAAUUGAUUGAUAUUUAUUACACGUUUACUUAACAUGAGGUGGACAAGGCAAGAAACAAAUGUUAGAGAGAUUAUGUUUUUAGAUUUUAUUUCGUAGACCAUUUGGUGUGGUAGUUGAUUAUUAGUUUCUUUAUUUUUAAAUCAUUAAAGAAGAAAUUCAACCAUCAAUCGCCACACUAAGUGAUCUACAAAAUAUAGUUUAAGUAAAUGAUCCCCCUAUCAUCUCCAAAUUUUAUUUAUAUCAUUAAACACAUAAAAAAUAAAGGGUUACAUAGUAAGUAUGUCAUUAAGGUCAAAAACUUUGAAACAUAAAUACAAUUAGACACCUCUUAAGAUUCAAUUGUAAUAAGACCACUUAAAAAUAAGGUCCAGUUAGACCCGACAAUUUCGUACAUGAUUCAUUGACGCGACACUGAACGAUACUAAAAUAACAAGUUUCAUAUUAAGGUCAAAAACUUUGAAACGUAAAUACAAUUAGACACCUCUUAAGGUUCAAUUGUAAUAAGACCACUUAAAAAUAAGGUCCAAUUAGACCCGACAAUUUCGUACAUGAUUCAUUAACGCGACACUGAACGAUACUAAAAUAACAAGUUUCAUAUUAACACGUUAUUUAAUCGGAUAUAACAAGCCACUCGUUAAUAAUGAGUUAUUAACAGAUUUAUCCGUAAAUAAAUUGUUUCAACCUAUUAUUAUAUAAAGUUAGUGUUAAUGCAGGGUCCUUUUUGACCCCUAGAACAAUGCAGGCCCAAUAAAGAAGAAAAGUUCAAGUCUUAGUGCUAGGCAAAUUGUGGCAUAUUAAGCUAGGCUGGUGUGCUAGGCAAAAGGGACUAGGAUUCUCUCCUUUCAUUUUUCCAUCUCCUCUUCUUACAUUCUUUAUUUUGUUUUUCUCUUUCUAUAAAAAAUUAAUAUAAGAUAUUAACGUGACUUAACCGUGACCGUUCAAAUAUGAGGAGAAGGAAGAUGAGGGAAAAAAGAGGGGAGAGAAUCCUACUCCAGACAAAAGUGCUAGGCAUACAAUAUAAAUAGAACUUUAGGGUUUUAUUCUUUGUACGAGAUACAUAAGAAUUACAAGGGAAACACUUUCAGAAAUUGUAGGGGUGUGAGAUACUAGAAAAUAGGAUUUGCAAAAGCAGAUGGGGUUUUCUUGUAAAGUGGCCAAGUCAAACAUAAGUUCAAGCUUGUUUCCAACAUCCAAAUUCUUGAAAUCCAACAGUACAGCACGUGCAGGACCACCCAACGUAUCAUUGUAUUUUAUAUACAGGAUAAACAGAGCUGAAAUUUAAGCAGCAAUUUGAUUUUGAUUUGAGCACAUGCAACCACAUCUGCACGCGUUUGUCUUGCUAGAGCUUUUUCCUUGCAUACGCUUUGAUUUGUUUUUCCUUUUAUUCAAGUACUCUUUGAUUUUAUGUAAGGGAGUUUUAAUGGAAAACGUUUCACACAACAAAAUUUUCAAUGAAAAACACAUUAAUGAUUUUUUAAUAAAUUUUUUGAAUUGUCGGUUUUAUGAAGAAACAAUUGUUUGUUUUAAUUUUAACUUAAUUGUAAUAUUGUCACUGCGCCUAAAUUUUAACUUAUUUACAAUACUAUCACCGUCUUUUGCCCUUGUAAUCAAACAAAAUUCAUUAAGUGUUUUUGGAUAGAUAAAAAAAAAUUGAGAUCAUUUUCAUUAGCUUUUCUUUAUGUAGAUGAUAUUAAAGGAAAAGAGACAAUGGAAAAGGAAAAGAGUUGUUCGGACUUUAUGCAUCUUUGUCUGUAACUCCUUACACUAUAAAUAAGAAUUAGGACCAAAGUCGUCCUUCUGAAAAUUGAUGCUUAAGACAAGAAUGAAUGAGGCUUUCCUACCGUAAUACUUUAAUAUAAUUCCAUUUAGCAAACAAGUGAAAUUGGAAACUUUUUGACCCAAUUUACAUAUCAUCUCCACGUCAAUACAAAUUUGAGAGUAUAGGUUUUUUUUUUUUUGGGUUACUGAUAUAUUCAACUCCAAAUGUCUUCACAUUAUGUAGUCUCAUAGUACCAUACCAAACCCCGUACAUUUUUACAUGUCCUCUCCUAGUAUUUGACCCGGUUUGAAAUAGUAUUUUAUUCUUUUAAUAUUAACACACAUGUGAAAUUAAAAUUGAAGAUCUCUGCCAAAACUGAAAGGAUAAGUGUUACGACCAAUUCCAAUCCUUGAACCCAAAUUCAAAAAUUUGGGUCCACUAGAAGACAAAAUUUAGCUAUGUAAACAGACCCUCCAGACCUAAGUUUCAGAACUUAAAAUGUAUUAAUUAUUUUAGAGAAACUUUGAGUUAUGUUAUCUUAAUUUAGUUUUAUGAAUGUUUUAACCUAAAAAAAUUUAAAUUCCUACAAAAUUUCCAAAACGGAACAAACUACACCAACCAACCACUAACCCACCAAACUUCAAUGUAUACAUCAACCAACCAAACUUCAAUAUACAAUACCAAAUAUGCAUAUUAUUUUGAUCGUUGAAUUUAAAUUUCAGCGUUGGAUCGUUUUUACCAUUGGAUUUGACAAAAACAAAUAUGGAUUGUUCAAUCAAUUUCAAAGGAUUGCCCAAAAUAGAGAGUUUGAUCUGGACCAUUGAUAACCAAUGGUCCAAAAAUCAAAAGGCCACAGUUUUUAUUGGACAGCUGAGUUCCUUGCCAUGUGGGGGCUAGUUGUCGGCUACUAACUCUUAGAUCAGCCAAAUUUAAACCCAAAUUUUGAUUUUGAUUUGGAUCCAAACCCAAAUAUUUUAGGUAUGAGUCUCAGCUUUAGGUGGCAAAUUUUUGUGUUCAAACCCAAAUAUUUGAGUUUGGGUCUAAGGGCUGGAGUUGGUCUAAUAGAUCAAAAGCUAAUUCUUGGAAAAAUAGAUUUGUGAGACUAUAAUUUACACCUCUCUAGAACAUAAUAUGUUCACAUAUUAGCCCUAAACAAUGACAUCAAAGGAGAGGAAAAAUGAGAAGGAAAAGGAGAAAGUAAAUGUAGAAAAGGAAGGGGUGAGAAUGAGAGAAAAUUCCGGAGAAUAGAGAAAAGAAGGGAAAAGAAGACAAGAAAUUUUGGAGAAAAGAGAAAAAGAAGAAGGGAAAAGAAGAAAAGAAAAGGAGAAGGGAAAGUGAGAGGCAAGCUUCGAAGAGCAGAGAAAAAGAGGGAAAAAGAAAAGGAAAGGAAAGUCACCUCCAUCGUUAUGUCUACUAAUUGUUACCCAUUUUCUUACAAAUGGGAGUGCGAGACUGAAAAAGAAGAAAGAAAAAAAAAAAAACAUGGCCAGACAUCCAGAAAAUAUACAAAUACGCCAAAGAACAAAUUGCUCCCAAUUUCCCUUGUUUCUUGUUGUAAAUAAUGGGUAUGUUUGCCCACAUGUGUAUAGUAAUGUGUAUAGUAAAGUAUCACAUGUGUAUACUAUAUACUCAUAAGCUAAAUAGUAAUGUUUUGUAAUUUUCCAUUGAAGUAGCUCUAUAAAUAGAGCACUUCAAUUGUGCAAAGAUGAGUGAAUGAGAAGAAGAAAGAAAAGAGAAAUAUAUCUAAUAGCAAUAAUAUACAUUACUUCCUCUGCAACAGCUUGUGUCGGUAUAUUACUCUGCAACUGCUUCGUUCCUUCACCGAGUAAAGGUUAUCUCUCUAUAAAUUUUGCCUAUUUAUAACACGUUAUCAGCACGACUCUCUAAUCAUUUCUCAUUUCCUUUCACCGAAUGAAAAAAAAAAAAAGUUUCCUCUAAGGUUUUUACUGUUCUUCUUCUUCCUCUCCCUCAAUUGCUGGGUAUACCCUCGCGAAGAACUAUUUGCACCAUGUUUACUUCUAGUUCUCCAACUAACAUUCACUUAUAUUCUUGAUUUCUUGUUUGGUGUAGAUAUUGACUACUAACCCACUGAUUAUUUAUGCAAUCCAAGAUUGUGCGGUUCUAUCGCCUAUCUUGGACUGCAGAUCUAAUUUUACUGCAAAUUUUAAGUGGAGCGGUAUAAUCGCCCGCUCUAUCCUGCAUAUUUAAAUUUGCCCGUUAUUUAAUUUUAUCGCAAUUUUAGGUGGUGUGAAAUAAUCACCCACCCUGCUUUACAUAUUUAAUUUUAUCGCAAUUUUAGGUGGUGUGAAAUAAUCACCCACCCUGCUUUACAUAUUUAAAUUUUAUCGCAAUUUUAAGUGGUGCGGUAUAAUCGUCUACCCUGCUUUGCAUAUUUAAUUUUAUCGCAAUUUUAGGUGGUGCGGUAUAAUCGUCCACCAUGCUUUGCAUAUUUAAAUUUUAUCGCAAUUUUAGGUGGUGCGGUAUAAUCGUCCACCUUGCUCUACAUAUUUAAAUUUUCCUGCUGUUUAAAGUAGUGCGGAAUAAUCGUUCAUCCUAUACUUAUUUCGAUGAGAAUGGUGCGGUACAAUUGCCCUUCUCAUUAAUUGUGUAAAUCUCGAGCCUGAAGUUUCGAGUACUUAUCAUUUUGGCCUGAAGAUCAAAAAUUUGUAAGAACCAGAAGUUCUAACAAUAUAUUUCUCCAGUACACAUAUUACUGCAAGUUCUUACACACCUCAUUUUUCUUUCAGAAAAGAAAAUGGCAAACUUGGCAAAACUUGAUUUUGCUGCCCUGGACAUUACUGGAAAGAAUUACCUUACAUGGGUACUGGAUACCAAGAUCCAUCUGGAAGCAGCAAAUCUUGGAGAUACCAUCAAGGAAGAAAGCAGCUCAUCCUCUCAAGAUCGGGCAAAGGCCAUGAUUUUUAUUCGUCGCCAUCUUGAUGAGGCACUAAAGAGCGAGUACUUAACGGUUGAAGAUCCGUUAGCCCUUUGGAAUGCCUUGAAAAGCAGAUACAAUCACCAGACAACGGUGAUUCUUCCAAAAGCUCGCUAUGACUGGACUCACCUAAGGAUCCAGGAUUUCAAAUCAGUGGCUGAGUACAAUUCGGCGUUGUUCAGAAUUACCUCUCAGAUGAAACUCUGUGGGGAUACUAUCACUGAGGAGAUGUUAUUGGAAAAGACUUUCAGCACAUUCCACGCCUCUAACAUGGUAUUGCAACAGCAGUAUAGAGCGCGAGGCUUCACUGAAUACAACCAGCUGAUAUAUGUGCUCCUGGUAGCUGAACAGAACAAUGAGCUUCUCAUGAAAAACCAUAAUUCCCGACCUACUGGAUCAACACCGUUCCCAGAAGUGAAUGUUGCUUCCCUUGAAAGGAAUAUCAUAUCCUCCCGUGGCAAUAAUUACAAACGAGGACGUGGCCACAAGCAAGGUCGGUGGAAAGGGAAAAGCAAGAACCAUGGUGUCCAGUUUCACAACCAGGUUCCAAGGUAUAAUCCAGGCUCGAGCUUUAAAAAUACCAAUCGCCAGAAAGGAAAAGCUCAUGUGAACACUCCUAGAAGUCAUGAAGGAGGUUGCCAUAGGUGUGGUGGCAACGGACAUUUGGCGCGUACUUGUCGCACCCCAAAGCAUCUGGUGGAACUAUAUCAAGCCUCCUUCAAGGAGAAGGGUGUCGAGAUCAAUUUCCUUGACCAGGCUAAACCAAUGGAAACCCCUGAUCCAGUGACCAAUUUAUCAUGACAGUUAAACACAACCCACCUGGAUGCUACAGACUUUAUUAAUGAAAGAGGGAAUGAAGUUUAUGGGUCCGAUUGAAUUAUUUAUGUUUAAUGUACUCAUGUUAUUUGUACCUGUGGUUUAAUGCUCGCAUUUUCAAUUCAAUAAAAGUAGUAUUCCAGUAUGAAUAAACUGCUUUUUCUUUACUCAGAGAUCAUGGAUAAAAAUUAUGGUUAUUCUCAAAACAAGAUCAAUGGCGGAGACUUUUGUCUUGCAGAUAGCGCAACCACGCAUUCAAUACUUCGAGAUUGAAAGUAUUUCUCGAAUUUGGUACUUGCAAAGUAAAGGUAACAACAAUAUCAUGACCAUCAGAUGUAAUUGAAGGCUCAGGAAAAGCCCAGAUUAUGUUACCAAAUGGAACAAUAUUGUCUAUAAAGAAUGCAUUAUAUGCUACUCGGUCCAUUCGAAAUUUGUUGAGUUUUAAAAGCAUACGUCUAAAUGGAUACCACCUUGAAACGAAAAGUGUAGAAAAUGUGGAAUAUUUAUGCAUUACCUCCAAUGAUACCCAGAAGCGUAUAUUGGAGAAGUUGCAUGGUUUAUCGAGUGGAUUGUAUUGUACAUACAUAAAGACAGUUGAGGCAUAUACUGUCAUGAACCAGAAGUUCAUUGAUUCAAAGGUUUACAUGUUUUGGCAUGACCGUCUAGGUCAUCCAGGAUCUACCAUGAUGCGUAGAAUCAUUACCAACUCUAAUGGACAUCCAUUACUGAGCAGACACAUUAAUGUCUCGAAUGAUAAUCCUUGCAAGGCUUGUUCCCAAGGGAAGUUGGUAAUUAGACCAUCACAACUAAAGGUUGAUGAUGAAUCCCCAUCAUUUUUGCAAAGAAUUCAAGGGGAUAUUUGUGGACCUAUUCAACCACCUUGUGGACCAUUUCGAUAUUUUAUGGUUUUGAUUGAUGCAUCUACCCGAUGGUCACAUGUUUGCCUAUUGUCUACUUGAAAUGUAGCUUUUUGCGAGACUUCUUGCUCAGAUAAUUAAGUUGCGAGCACAGUUCCCAGAUCAUCCCAUUAAGUCCAUUCGACUUGAUAACGCUGGUGAAUUUACGUCUCAAACCUUUGAUGAUUACUGUAUGGCACUGGGCAUUAAUGUUGAACACCCUGUUCCUCAUGUCCAUACUCAAAAUGGUUUAGCAGAGGCAUUUAUCAAGCGGCUUCAAUUAAUAGCCCGCACUCUGCUCAUGAAAACGAAAUUUGCCAGUUUCUACAUGGGGACAUGCCAUAAUUACAUGCUGCAUCAUUGGUUAGAUUGAGACCCAUAGCCAACCACCAAUACUCAUCAAUACAACUCGUGUUUGGACAUCAGCCAAAUAUUUCACAUUUACGAGUUUUUGGUUGUGCUGCUUAUGUGCCUAUUGCACCACCACAACGAACUAAAAUGGGACCUCAACGCAGAUUGGGAAUUUAUGUGGGUUUUGAUUCACCAUCUAUCAUUAGAUAUUUGGAACCUUUGACUGGUGAUGUGUUUACAGCUCGUUUUGCUGAUUGUCAUUUUGAUGAGACAGUUUUCCCGUCGUUAGGGGGAGAAAAGACUGUUCCAGAAGAACGACAAGAGCUAACAUGGGUUGUUCCCACCUUAUCUCAUUUUGAUCCAAGAAGCACUCAAUGUGAAAACGAAGUGAAAAGAAUCGUUCAUCUUCAAGGUAUUGCUAAUCAAAUGGCAGAUGCAUUUAAUGAUGCUUCGAAAGUGACACAGUCAUAUAUACCGGCUGCAAACGCACCUGCAAGAAUUGAUGUCCCUGUUGGACAAAAUAAAGUGGCAGCGAAUGAUUCAUCCAGUGCACGCCUGAAGCGUGGUAGACCCCCAGGUUCAAAAGAUUCAGCCCCUCGAAAGAGAAAGAUGAUGGCCCAAUUGAACCCAAAUGAUAUCAUUCAAGAAAAGGAAUUGAAUGAUAAAUCCACAAUUCGUGACUCUGUACUUCCAGAAAAAGAAAAUGUCCUUGAUGAGACACAUGUCCCUGAAGAGACAGAAGUACAUGAAAGCAAAGAAAUAUCCAUAAAUUAUGCAUGUACUAAUGAAUUGUGGGAUCGAAAUGAAAUAAUCAUCAUCGAUGACAUGUUUGCAUUUGCAAUAGCCACUGAAAUUAUAUUAAGUGAUGAUAUUGAGCCCCGCUCUGUUGAUGAAUGCAAACAGAGACAAGAUUGGCCUAAGUGGAAAGAUGCAAUCCAGGCAGAAUUUAAAAUCCUUGGAAAGAACGAAGUGUUUUUGGACCAGUAGUCCAAACCCCGCCUGGUGUGAACCCCGUAGGUUAUAAAAUGGGUAUUCACAAGGAAACGCAACGAGAAAAACGAGAUUGCAAAGAUAUAAAGCACGACUCGUUGCACAAGGUUUUUCACAAAGACCUGGAGUUGAUUAUGAAGAGACAUACUCUCCCUGUAAUGGACACAAUUACGUUCCGUUACUUAAUAAGUUUUGGUGAUUUCAGAAAAACUUGACAUGCGACUUAUGAAUGUCAUCACCCGCGUAUCUAUAUGGAGAAUUAGAUACUGACAUAUAUAUGAAAGUCCCAGAAGGACUUAAGUUGCCUGAAGCAACUAACAAACCACGGGGUAUGUUCUUAAUCAAAAUUAAGGCGAUCACUAUAUGGGCUGAAACAAUCUGGGCGAAUGUGGUAUAAUCGUCUCAGUGAGUAUUUGAUUAAAGAAGGAUAUGCCAACAAUGUCAUUUGCCCUUGUGUGUUCAUUAAGAAAUCAAAUACUGGAUUUGCUAUAGUGGCAGUAUAUGUCGAUGAUAUGAACCUAGUUGGAACCCCUGAAGAGCUCAACAAAACUGCUGAAUAUCUGAAAAGCGAAUUUGAAAUGAAAGACCUUGGGAAAACCAAAUAUUGUCUAGGCCUGCAGAUCGAGCAUUGUGUUAGUGGAAUUUUGGUCCAUCAAUCAGCUUACAUUGAAAAAAUACUGAAGCGAUUUGGCAUGGACAAGGCUUAUCCACUUAGCACCCCAAUGGUCGUUCGUUCAUUGGACAUUAAGAAAAAUCCAUUUCAUCCAAAAGAAGAUGAUGAACUGGUCCUUGGUCCAGAAGUACCAUAUUUGAGCGCAAUAGGUGCUUUAUUGUAUUUAGCACAAUGUACUAGACCAGAUAUAGCUUUUUCAGUUAACUUGUUAGCCAGGUACAGCUCUGCUCCAACAAUUCGUCAUUGGAAGGGAAUCAAAGAUGUUCUACGAUACCUUCGUGGGACAACAGAUAUGGGUCUCUUCUACUCAGACAAGCCCACAAAUGAACAAAUCCUUGUUGGAUACGCAGAUGCUGGUUUUCUCUCCGAUCCGCAUAAAGCCCGCUCACAAAAUGGAUAUGUGUUCACUAAUGGAGAUACUGCAAUUUCAUGGCGAUCAACAAAGCAAACGCUAGUUGCAACAUCUUCCAAUCAUUCGGAAAUAAUUGCUUUACAUGAAGCAAGUCGUGAAUGUUCUUGGUUAAGAUCAAUGAUCCAUCACAUCCGGAAUUCAUGUGGUCUACCUUCAAAGACAGACACUCCAACUGUCAUCCAUGAAGAUAAUGCAGCCUGUGUCGCCCAGAUGAAGGAAGGAUUUAUCAAAGGUGAUAAGACUAAACACAUAUCUCCAAGAUUUUUCAGUGCACAUGAGCUUCAGAAGGCUAAAGUUAUUGAAGUCAGACAAAUCCGUUCCAAUGAAAAUUUAGUAGACUUGUUCACCAAAUCUCUACCAAAGUGCACAUUUCAAAAGUUGGUACAGGGAAUCGGAUUACGACGGCUUACAGAUUUGAAGAAUGCGGAAUCAGGGGGAGAUACAAUUCAGGGGGAGCAUCCAUGAUACAUGCAUGUUGUACUCUUUUUCCUUCGCUUAGGAUUUUUCCCAUUGGGUUUUUCCUAUCAAGGUUUUAACGAGGCAACCUAAGCAUGCUCAACACCAUCCGGGUAAAGUUGUACUCUUUUUCCUUCGCUAUGGUUUUUUCCCACAGGGUUUUUCCAAGCAAGGUUUUCCAAGCAAGGUUUUAAUGAGGCAACUGAUGUUGAUAUGUGGGCAUCCAAGGGGGAGUGUUGUAAAUAAUGGGUAUGUUUGCCCACAUGUGUAUAGUAAUGUGUAUAGUAAAGUAUCACAUGUGUAUACUAUAUACUCAUAAGCUAAAUAGUAAUGUUUUGUAAUUUUUCAUUGAAGUAGCUCUAUAAAUAGAGCACUUCAAUUGUGCAAAGAUGAGUGAAUGAGAAGAAGAAAGAAAAGAGAAAUAUAUCUAAUAGCAAUAAUAUACAUUACUUCCUCUGCAACAGCUUGUGUCGGUAUAUUACUCUGCAACUGCUUCGUUCCUUCACCGAGUAAAGGUUAUCUCUCUAUAAAUUUUGCCUAUUUAUAACAUUUCUUACAUUGUAAAUUAUAUUUCGUGUAACGAGAAAUCAGUAUUGCUACUUCGGGGAUGUUGGCACAACUUGUCGAACCUUGUAAAUAUUGUGUCUUAUAUACAUUUUUCGCCACUUUAUAUAUUUCGUAUAUAUGUGCAACAUAUGUUCCAACAAGAUUCUUAAGGUGUAGCUCAAACAUUAACAGAAGAAAAAUGUUUACAAAAUCUACUAUGCGCAACAUGAUUUGGUUGACGACAACAUGUCUAUGAAGUGUUCGACGAAAUGCCUUAGUGAACAAAUUGAAAAUUUUUUUUGCACGUCUCGCUCUCUGUUUCUAUCUAAAAACUUGGACCUAACACUGGGACCCUAAGAUUUGAAUUCUAAACCAACCACUGCCACAAGUGUUCUCUUUUGGUCCAACCUAUAACUAUAGAAAAAGCAUAUAACUGCACAACAAUUCGAUCAACCACCUCAAGUUCAACCAUACAUGUACCCAUAUUUAGGUUAUUCCGAACUUACCUUAUGAAAGUAACUAAACAUUACUGCCACAUUAUUAUGAAAUUCUAUCAAGUUUGAAUUUUUGUCUCAUAACUAUAUCAUCUAUAAGACAAUUGGUAACACUAGUUGGUGGAUUGACGAUUGGUAGAAAUGGCUUCAACAUUUGAAGGACGAGAAAUGAGUAUGGAGCACCGAUCAAAACGUGCUGUAUUUUAUCACUAAAAAUCUAAGUGCAAUUAGAAAUGCAUUUUAUCAAAAAAAGGUAAGCAAUUAUUGAUAUAAAUUGUAAUUUAUAAGAUCACAUAUAAAACAUGCUCCUUCCUUUUUCUUUUCAUCUCUGCCACUAGUGGCCAACCAAGACAUAAAGAAAUGCUUUUUGGGUCAAUGCAUGUGAACGACCCAUUUUAUAAUUAUUGGUAAUUUUCAUGGGAGUAGAUAGGAAUGACCCAAUUAAAUAUUUCCCCUGCACACCAACACUUGCAAUGCAGCUAGCAAAGAGUUGUUUGAACACCGAUCCACAUCAAUGGCUCUUGUGAGAACAUCUCCAGGGACCUCCUCUGAUUCCAACACUUUUCGGGGUUACCGAUACGACGUGUUCUUGAGCUUCAGAGGCGAAGACACUCGUAAGACUUUUACCGACCACCUCUACACAGCCUUGAACAACGCAGGAUUUCUCACGUUCCGGGACAACGAUGAACUUGAGAGAGGAGAAGAUAUAAAGCCAGGACUGCAGAAAGCGAUCCAGCUGUCACGAGCUUCUGUUGUCGUGUUUUCGAAAGAUUACGCGUCAUCCGGAUGGUGCCUUGAUGAGCUUGUGCUGAUCCUUGAACACAAGAGGACCACCUCGAACCAUGUAGUUUUACCAGUCUUCUACGAUGUCGAUCCGUCCCACUUGAGGAAGCAGAUGGCAAGUGUUGGAAAAGCAUUUGCUAGACACGAGAGGACUCAGUCGUCGAAAAGGGUGAAGGGAUGGAGAGAGGCAGUUGCAGAGGUUGCAGAUCUAGCAGGCAUGGUCUUACAAAAUCAAGAUGAUGGGUACCUUUCAUUUUCUCCAUUUCUCUCCUCUUUCUUCAGUCAAUUUGGUAAUAUGAUCCGUAGGACCUUGAUUUAUAUUAAUCAAUCUCAGUAGUGAAUAAUAAUCCCAAUUUAAAGAAAUCACAUUUUCCAUGGUAGUCUACAUGAAGGACCUAAGACACAAAAAGUAAACAAAAACUCUCAAUUUUUGUCUAGAAUCUUAUCUGCAAGAAAAUCGAAUUAUUGUUGAAACUUGGAUUCGAAUCAAAACAUUGAUUCAGAGCUCUAACAAUCCAAAAUAGUCACACAGCGAACAAUUUCUCAAAUAACGAAGUCAAUACUGGACAUAUAUACACCAAAGAAAAGUCGAAAACCUAGCUUCAAAGUUGGACAUAAAUUCAAAUAAGUACUUAUAAUCAAUUGAGAAUAACUCUAAAAUUAAAGCAGCACAUCCCUCUCUCUCUCUCUCUCUCUCUCUCUCUCUCUCCCUCAGCCUUAUGUCUUUUAUUUUUAAUUUUUUUUACUACUACAGGUCCACUAUCCACUGUCCGCCUUAUGUCUUAAUAAAACACAUAUAACAUAUCAAACACUAGAGAGAAGAUCUACACUUUAGUUCAUCAAAAAAAAAAAAAAAAGCCUACCACUUUCCAAAUGAAAAAAAAAAAUUAGUCUCAUUAGGAUGGUUUAUUACCCAUGACAUGUUUGAUUUAUUUUUUUUUCAUUUCGUUUGUAAAUUCUUAGGUACGAAUCAAAGUUUAUCAAAAAAAUUGUUAAAGUGAUUGGAGGCAAGUUAAGUCGCACACCAUUGAGUGUUGAACCAAAAUUGAUUGGAAUCAAAUCUCAAGUCAAAGACAUCAAUUUGUGGCUACAAAAUGGAUCAAGUGAUGUUGGUAUACUUGUUGUGUAUGGCAUGUCAGGAAUAGGGAAGACAACCAUUGCAAAACAUGUUUACAAUUCAAAUUUUAUUGGCUUUGAAAGAAGUAGUUUCAUUGAAAAUAUCAAUGAAAGAGCUGAUCGACCAAAUGGCUUAGUUCAAAUACAAAUGCAACUUCUUUCCGAUAUUUUGAUCGGUUGCGAAGUGAAAAUACAGACUGUUAGUGAGGGAAUAAUUAAGAUUGAAAGCGCCAUAAGCUCUAGAAAAGUUCUACUUGUUCUUGAUGAUGUGGACCGUAUGGAUCAAUUAGAUGCAGUACUAAAAAUGAAAGAUCGGUUUUAUCCCGGAAGUAAGAUACUUAUAACAACUAGGCGUGAAAGAUUGCUAAGAGCACAUCAAGUUAUAAAGGUGUACAAAGUUGAAACUUUGAAUUACAAUGAAUCACUAGAGCUUUUCAGUUGGCAUGCAUUUGGCCAGGAUCGUCCCACAGAAGAUUACAUGAAGCAUUCAAAAAUGGUAGUGCAACAUAGUGGCGGACUUCUAUUAGCUCUUCAAGUUUUGGGUUCUUCUUUAUCAGGGGAAAGCAUGGGUGUAUGGGAAAGUGCCUUGGAGAAGCUAAACGUUAUUCCUAAUGGUGAAAUCAUGAAUAAACUAAGAGUAAGCUAUGACAGUUUACAAGAUGACCAUGACCGAAAAUUAUUCCUCCACAUUGCUUGUUUCCUAAUAAAAAGGAACAAAAACUACAUUGCUAAGAUACUUGAUGGAUGUGAUUUCUAUACAAUUGUUGGCAUUCAAAAUCUCAUUGAUAGAUGCUUGGUGACAAUUGAUAAAUACGGCAAGGUGAAUAUGCAUGACAUGAUUCGUGACAUGGGGAGAGAAAUUGUUCGUCUAGAAUCAGAAGAGCCUGAGAAACGUAGUAGACUAUGGCGCCAUAAGGAUUCUUUCCAAGUAUUGAGGGACAAGAAUGUAAGAAACAUGCCUUUAAUGUCUGUAUAUGUAUUUCUUCUUGUGAAAAUUAUUCAUACUAACGUUUUCCGCUUUUUCCUUUAGGGUACAAAAAAAAUCCAAGGUAUUGUCCUGAAUAUGCUUAUGCUUCCUGCACAUAGUCCAAUAAAUACAAAUGAGACAGUCUUGGAAACCAAUGCAUUUGAAAAGAUGCGCAAAUUACAGCUACUACAUCUUAGUCAUGUACGACUGGAUGGAUGUUAUGCAGAUUUCCCUACAAGAUUAAGAUGGUUGUGUUGGCUUCAAUUUCCAUUGGAUUCUAUACCUAUUGAUUUUCCUUUGGGGUGUCUAAUUGUUCUUGACAUGCAAUAUAGUAGCUUGAGACAAGUCUGGAAAGGAACAAAAGUAUGUUAGUCUACGCAUUUCAAUUCAGUUUUUUAUUUUUUGACCAAUUGCAUAUGUUAAAAUUAACUCCUACACAUUUUUUUUUUAAAUUUUACACAGUUUCUUCCAUCAUUGAAGAUCCUUGACGUCAGCCAUUCUCAUGCCCUCACUGAAAUCAUGGACUUCUCACUUUGCCCCAGUCUAGAAGAACUAAUUCUUGUAGAUUGCACAAGCCUGAUUAAUGUUCAUGAAUCCAUUGGAAACCUGGAGAGGCUUGUGUACUUAAACGUGGAAGAUUGCACGAAUCUUAGGAUGCUUCCGAAGAACAUGUGUUUGCUUAAAUCACUUGAAACACUCAUUUUAUCGGGUUGCUCAAAUCUUGAUGAGUUUCCAAUGGAGAUGAUGAAGAAGAUAGCUCUGAAAGUUCUUGAAACAGAUGGAAUUCCAUUAAGUGAAUUAUGGACAGAAAGAAGUUCAAGUAUCUUGAGUUCUUUUCCAUGCUCUUUAGUAGGGUUGAGUCUAAAGGGGUGCAAUCUUUCUGAUGAUGCCUUUUGUAGGGAUUUAAGUAGUCUAUCCUCGUUGCGAAGACUAAAGUUAGGUGAGAAUCCAAUUUCCAGUCUGCCAGGUUUCAUCAAGGGUUUGAGGAGGCUCGAUAAACUCUCUUUCAAGGGUUGUGAUAGGCUCGAAUCGCUUGUGGGGUUGCCGAGAGUACACAAAAAGAUGGAUGUAUCCGAUUGCAUAUCAUUGAAAGAAGUAACAUAUCAAUCGUUUAGAGGGUUCCAACUAAAUGCCUUUGCGAGAGAAAACUACAACGUAGUUGAGUGGGAGUACCAUCACAAGUUAGAGCCUAUUGAUAGAGUUGAUGCAGAAAUGAUCAAACUUUUGGGCUUGUGCAACUUGGGAUCCAUGCCUGCAAUUCGAAUGAACAGCCCAAAGGGUUGCUUUCAUUCAAAAGAGGAUAGGUGGAGUCCCGUCCAGGUGCGCUCUCUCUCUCUCUCUCUCUCCCCCCUCUCCCUUUCUCUCAUAAGUCAAAUAUAUAAUGGGAAAUAAAUGACUCAGUAAUGUUGUGAUGAUCAUGGAAAAUGCAUAGGGACUCUAUCAAUUUGGUAUAUUCAGCACAUUUUUUGUUGGGAAUGAGGUUCCAGGCCAGUUCAGCUAUAAAAGUACCAAGUCCUCCAUAUCUUUUAUUGUCCCUUUACUCAUUGCUAGUCACAAAAUCCGAGGCUUAAACAUCUCUGCUACCUAUGCAAAUGAGGAGAAUUCUAAUUAUAUUGAUGAUGGUUAUAAACGUCCAAUAAUAAUCAAAGUGAGUAACAAGAGCAAGGGUCUGAAGUGGAUCUAUGUCCCAGCUUUCUACGGUAUUCCAGAAGAGGGAGAAGAUAUGAUAUGGUUAAGCCAUUGGAGGAUGGAGAGUGAAACAACAUUACAAUGUGGAGAUGAAGUGCUUGUUUUAGUACUCUUGAGCCUUGGUAAGUUUCAGCUCAAGGAGUUUGGUGUCGAGCUUGUGCAAGAGCACCAGAAUAAUAUGAUGAUAAGUACCCAACACAACAUCAAAUCAGAUCCUAAUUACCCUUUUGUCAUCGGUGGAGAUUUGUCCAUGUGGGAGUAUAUACCAGGAAUAUACUUCCUCGGUUGCGAUAAAGAAACUGUUGAAGACACUGAUGUCUUUUCGCAGAGAUUUUUAAAUUGCCUGAUCAUGGACACUGAUGAAGAAGACACAGGUAUGCUGUGUCGUUGUUGUAUUGCAAUGAAUUAUACUGCAUCCAAACACUUCCAAGUCCAUCUGUAUUCAAUCCAAAAACAUAAAUUUUAUGUUAUUUGUAUGUUUUUCAGACAAAGAAAAAGGGCAAGAGGAUGAACCUAAUUACACAAUUGCAAGGACGAGGGCUGCCAGUAACAACUGCAGCCUUGGAGGCUGGAAGGUGCUCCUCACAGCUGCCGGCUUAUUUUUCACGCUUGCUCUAGUAGUUCGGUCCUCCAUCUCCCAGAAAAAAAAGCGACUCUAGUCCACAAGCCAUCCAUGAGUUUGUAAUUUUAUUUGAUACAGACAUAUCUUUGGAUUCCCUCCUUGUUUUUAAGAUGUUUUCUGCCUUCAAAAUAUCGAAGUUCAAAUGUGUUCAAAAUCAUCAAAUAUUGCAUAAAAUACAUCCUACAUUAGCGAUGCUUAAAAUUUUUCUUCCCUGCCACUGAUUGCAUACAAUCAUGUACCAGAGAAGAUAAACAAAUGAUUCUAUAGCAGCAGUAAAUAAUUGGGAAAAAAAAAUGAUUCUAAACAUACAAGGGAAGGACUUUGACAUAGGUAUCUUUAGCAAUACCAGGCAAAAAUCAAUUCUUUGAACUGGGGGAAAAUAUUUUGGCACCGGGGAAAGUGAAAACAUCCUAUCUGCUUAUAAAUGUCAAAUUUACUGGUGUUAAUUGUCAUUUACAACAAAAUCAUGCUUCGUAAAAGAUUCGGCUCCCAUUGAAAAAUUAUGUAAAUUACAUAAAUAUCAGUACAACAGAUAUUAGAUUGACUAAUAUAUCAAAUAAAUUAAGAGCAGACAAUUUCUUAGCCUGCGAUCUAAGGACUAUACAGCUGAUUCAGCCUUGCGUUGCUACUACACUACGAAAGCUGGUUUCUGCUUCUUCAACCCGAACAAAUUAUUAAGGUCAGGAAGCAUAGGAGAAACGACCACGGUCUCUGGAGCCAUGAAAUUUUCUGUCUUCUCAUAAACAUUGUCACUGCUAGCUUGUUCCAUUUUUAAAGUUACAAAAACACAAAAACUUGAACAAUAGAAGUUCGGGAUCGAUUAGGUUCCAAGCCCACUAUAAGCUGAGCAAUACAGUGUCAUUGACUUCAAUGGCUGCAGAUACAGAUUGUUUGAAUAAAACUCUCCUCAUGACUCAGAUUUAGUUCUUAAAGUUGGUUAGACGAGUCCGAAUUGUCUGAAAAUCAUGUUCAUCAACUCCACAUAUCCAAAGCAGCAAAUUAAGGAGGAUACCGGACAUCACUUAGGACAAUACAAUCCUUAACAAUUUCCAAAAGCCACAGUUUUUAUAUGCAAUCUGAUUACAUGUGUUUUGAACUACAGGAAAUCUUAUAGAUUGGGUAAACCGUAUAUCAAAUUCAAAUGCAAUCAUUCAUAUAUGAAGUAUGAGAUGCCCAAUAGUUUUACCAAAAGUUGCUGGGUCAAUUGUCUCAAAACAUUCUUUUAGAAAUUGCUGGUAAAACUCAGAGUCAUCCAAGGGGUCACCAUCAGCUUUUGCACCAGCAUCAGAUUGUGUCUUAUCAGAGUGAAGGAAUAAAAGUACUUAACUUGUGCAAAUAGAAAUAUAACUUUUAUAACACAUCAAAGAGAUAAUUAAAGCAAACCUUACAGGCUACACAUCGAAGCGGCAAACGAAUACUAAUUUUAAACAUAAAGAUGCAAUUAAAGGUAAUGGCGCAUGAAGAGUAUUGAAACCGUCACAGUCCUCACACACAGGUUGCAUGAUCUUUUCUUGUAGCAAUAAAAGAAACAAAUUCAUCAAGUCACAUUGGGCCAUCCAAAAAGAAAAAUGAAGCAAAGUACCAAACACCACAAACAACCCAAAUUUGUUCAAACGUAGUAUCAAACUAAUUAUAGACUGCAUCCAUCCCAAACAAUUAAUUUGUACCUCAUUUGGGAGUUAAAAACUUACAACAGCACAUGGAAAAAACGUAAAUUCCAUGGACAUUCGAUUCCAAUGAACUUACAUGCAAUCAGUAUAGGAUUAUAGUUGACCACAAUUACAUGCAGUCAGUACCUCUCCCUUUGCAGAGUUGUACCCCUCAGGAACCUGCACAUCCACAACUUAUGUUUAAGUUAAUGUACAAAACUUAAGAAAGCCCCAUCUUGUUAUGAUGUUAAAAUUAUGAAGCAAAAAUGAGCAUGCACGUGACAGUCAAUAUCUUACAGGUACCAAAUACAGCAACUGCUGAUUUCCUCAUCUGCAUCUGCCUAACCAUUCUGCUUGGAUCUCUCAUAUAUGAAGCAACUUGUUCGCUAAUAUUCAGCGAUUGGGAAAGGAAAAAUGUAUUCCUGGUGAAUAUCUGGCAAAGCAUGGCACAAGUCCUUCAUAGGGAAAGGCAUGGUUACAAGUUCAAUUAUAGAGCCAGACUUGAUUAAAAGCAUGCAGUUUGCUUUUAAUAGCAGCAGCAUCUGUGGUCACCUCUGUCUUCCUCUGCCAUUUGUUUAUCAAUUUGUUUCUGAAAGUAGCAUUCUACAAGAUACAACGUGACAGGCCUUAGUUAGACCAAGUAACCAACAUGGAAAUGUAAACAAUAAUGAAAAGUUGAACAUAGUAGAACAAAUUUCUAAAAUUCAUGCAAGAGAAGUUGUCGGAGCAUGAAAGAAUUCACAGCAGAACUGCCCAAGAGUAUACUUAAAUUAAACAUAUGGCAACAUAGAUUUUUUACAAGUAUAAUUUACAAAUGCAUUCCAUGGUUCUUUGCCGGCCCCUUUAGAUAACUAAUUUAAUUUAGUGCCUAAUGGAAUUUAAAUUUCAGAAAACUAUCGUCUGGUAUAUUUCAUAUUAAAUAGUUGACAAACUUUAUAACAUAAUAGCGUCAUUUAUUAACUGAUACGAACCAUGUAGUAAAAUAUAACAAAAGUUAGACACCAAGGCAUUGAAAUACAGCAAUAAUAGUAAGGUACUUGAUUGAAUCCACCAUUUACGAGAAUUUUAACAAUAAAACAAUAAAACUUCGAAGUUCUUUUUGCUGCUCCAAAUGGAUCAGCGAAGUAUGGCAUGAAGAACGGAAAAAAAAAAUUCAGUUUUAUAGAUAGACUUCAAUACAGUAAGAGCAUAUGUACAUAGUAGAAUAUGAUUCUUCUUCUCAGAGUAUCUAAUUAUGAUUUGAGUACCUCGACAGCAACUCAGAAAUUCAUGACCAAUCCUCAUCACCAUCACCAUCACUGCCAAUGUUUUUAGAUGACUGUGACAUCUUAGAUCGUCCAGAUUUACCUACAGAACAGGAUAUGUAUUAGGAAAAGCAAUACAUGAACAUAUGCAGUAAGAAGUUAAUGAAAAUGCAAACAGUACAAAGUGGGACAGUCAAUUAGACCAUGGUAGCCCCAAUGCCAACUUUUUUUGCUAAAUGAUGCUAAGUUUUAUAUGAGAUCAAGCAGGAAAGAUAUGUAUUGACAUCCUAGGGGCUUUUUGAAAUCUGGCUUCAUCUUUGCUGUCCUUAGAUCAACAAAACAUGGCUGCCCAACCGAUUUACCUUCCAUGCCAACAUUAUGCUUUUGACAACUGCAACAAAUACCUACCUCUAUAGUGGUGAUUUAAUUGAUGUUUCUGUAAUCAAACUCCCAAAGUGUCUACUGUUUGUUGAAAACAACUGAAUUUCUGACCAAUUGGACUACUUUGAACUUCCCAAAGUGUAAUAUCUUUAGUAGAACAUAACCUGGUCAAUCCAGUAAGUUUUGUGCGAAACUCAUUGAAAUUCCUUACCAUUGAGGUAAACUUGUGGCUCAUUUUCUGCACAUUGAUGAGGCCGUUCCAACCCAGACUCAGCUUCACCUAUAGAAACAGAAAUUAACUAGGACAAAGCAACACGAUGCAUUGUCUCUCUUCAAGCUUGAGAAAAUGACAUACCUUGCAAGAACCCAAAGAACUUGACAUGUUCAUGCUCCGGCCAAUAAUAUCCAUCAGCAUAUGUCCAUUUUAGUACACGCCUAUAUUCAACUAUUUGAAAAUAGAGAAAAUUUAAUAAGAAAAAGCAGUAAACUCUUGGUAGAAAAGUGUGGUAAUUUGUGGUGUACCUGUAGCCAGGCCUCUGUAAUGAACUUCAACUGUGACUCAGGUUGGCACUACGGGCUGGUUUGGUAUUGCUGUGCUUUAAAAAAAAGCUGCUGUGAGAAUAAGCGGUUGUGCUGUGAGAAUAAGUGACUGUGAAAUAAAUCAGCAGAGCGUUUAGUAAACUUUUUUGUAAAAGUGGUUUUGGAAAAAAAGCAGUCUGAUAGUGGGUCUUUUCAUUAAAGGAGCACUGUAACUCCGUGAGCUUUGAAACAAAACCAGUUUUCCAAAGCUGCAAAUAGCAGCUUCAGUUUUUUCCUUUGAUUUCAGCUUAUUCUCACAGCAGCUUCCAAAAUAAGCCCUCACAGCUUUUUUUUUUUUUUUAAACACCGCACACCCACUCAUCUACCCCGCUCCCUUCCUUCUCUCCUUUCUCUCAUCUGCACUUUCUCUGUUACAGCUUCACUCUGUCCGGGAAGUCAUCGUCAAAAUCGACGAAGGCGCAGAUUCGUUCACAAGCACCAGCGACCUGCCAAAAGUGGCAGGAAGAUUUGGCGGCAGUCCAGCAUCGAUUUCUGGCACGAGGACGGCAACGGCGAUGCCGAGAAUUUUGAUUUCGUGCAGCGAGGGAAGACGGAGGAGGUGAAUGGGGAGGAUCCGCCGUCGAAGCUGAUUGCAGCGAGCCUCCGGCGAUAAGACGCUGGAUAUGGAUUUGGAGAUGGAGGAGCUGUAGCAGAACGAGCGCGAUUUGCCGCCCCUCGCCGAGUCGCCGAGUCCGAGAAACUUGUGCAACUCGAAGGAGCUCAAAGUCUCGUAUCAAUUGCCGGCGUCGGACCUCACCGAUACGCCGCAAACUGAGUCAGUUCAGAGGCGAUACAGAGAGUCCCCUGACGAGGAGCGACGCCGCAGCGAGAGGUUGGGCAACGGACAGGACGACGUCGUCCGGUGCACUUCCAACUCCUCAUUCCGCCGAGAGCCUUCGUUCUCGAACAAGUCCGAUUUGUUGAGAAUAAAGACCAAGUCCAGACUAAUCGACCCGCCGGAGGAGCCGGAUUUCAAGUCGGGUCGGAUCUCGCGAUCGGGACAGAUGAGGUCCGGGUUGCUGGGCCGCGGCGGCGACGACUCGACGACCCAUUUCUGGAGGAGGACGUGCCGCACGAGUACAAGAGAGCGAACUUCAACGCAUUGACGCUGCUUCAGUGGGUAAGCUUGGUUUUGAUCAUUGGGGCACUGGUUUGCACGCUGACGAUUCCAGUUCUGAGGGAGAAGAGGAGGGAGGGAAGAGGAGGGAGGGGGUCGGGAAGGGUGGGACAGGAUGCCCAGAAAAAAGUUUUUUUUUUUUUACUUUUUAAAAUUUUUUUUUUAAGCUUUUAUUGACGUGGCCGUCACGUCAUCAAUUAACAACUGACCGAACAUCCAACUUAACGGAUGUACAAAACUGUUCCAAAAAAUUAAGACAUGAGAUAUGAUUGGACUGAAAAUAACUUCAUGUACCAAAUAUUAAAAUUCACAAAAUUACAAGAUAGUAAACUGAGAUUAACCCAAAAAUAAAAAGAAAUUCAUGCACAUGAAGCCUAUGAUAAAUGUCAAUUAAUUGACAUUAAGUCAAAGAAAGUAUCUGCUAAAGCAUAUUCAGUUCUCCCGUCCUAUUCUGAUAACUGUCCGAACCAUGAAUAAGAUACGAUUGGAUCAUCAUCCAAGAAAUGGUACAGGUCGUUCGCAUCCUCAAAUAGAAUUUUCCUGGUGCAACAUAAAAGCAUUGUUGAAAGCGAAUCAGGAUUCUCUCCUGAGCACAUGGUCAGGAUCCUCCUGACCACGCCCAUCGGGUCGUUCAACUUUUAUCUAACGGUUAUAAUUAUUAUAACUUUUAGAGGGCCCCCUGUUUGUAGCAGUUGGAUAAAAUUUAAACGGUCCGAUGAGCCUGAUCAGGAGGAUCCUGACCAUGUGCUCAGGAGAGGAUCCUGAUUCGUUGAAAGCAACGGAAGAAAAUAUGUCAACAAUGGCAUAAUAUAUGUGAGGUAAGUUGGUUUGACAUGAAAAAAAAAAUUGUAAUUGUCCACUCAUAUUUCACGCCUUCAUUGUAUAAGAAAAAUGUCAGUCCAACCACUUGUAGAUCAAAUGAAAUUUUGCUUGAGUAUUUUUCUUUGAACUUCUUUCCACUCAAAAUUUCCUAGCAAUAAAAAACAAAGUGAAAGAGAAUAUAAAGGCGCUUCAAGGCAAACUUCAAGGACUCGCUCAAGAACAUUAUGCAAAAAAGAGUUUGCAUGCAAGCUUUCUCCAAAUUCAAUAGCCUACAUUAUAACAGAAAUAGAAGGGUAAAAGGGAAGAGUUAAUAAAAAUAAGAUUAGCUAGCAAUUUGUUUUGCAUAUAUAUUAGAUACAACACACUUGAUGAAAUCAUUUCUUGCAUAUGAGAUACAACAUUGUCAUUUAACUGCAUACACAGUGCUACAGCCUCUCAAUUUGCUUUUAAGACAGGCAUCCCAAGAAGUUCCUAUAAAACCACCUUUAGUAAAUAUCUGAUAAGCACUCAUAAUGCCUCACCAACAAACCAAAAGGUAUCUAUGUUGAACAAAGAAAUAAAACAUAUUCAAAAGAAUUAAACUGAUUGCAAAAUUUUCAGGGAAGAAAGCUGAUCACAGAAGUUUAGCCAAAUGAACACAAGUUGCCAAAAAAAAAAAAAAGUAUGUAUAAGCAUGGAUACUCAGUCAACUACUAAAUAAUGAGCAAACGAAAGGUCUGCAAUUAGGUACAAAAAAGGGCCAUUGCACCAAAAUAAUAAUAAAAAAUACAAACCACAUUUUUUAAAUUGAUAACAAAAGCAUAACAUCUGAAACACCAUUUUCAGCCAUAUGCAAACUCGAUGAAUCAAUACCAGAGAAACGAAAAAACCUUGCAAUCCUCACCUGCAAAUUCAGAGGCGAUGGAGUUCCGUUACCCACAAAGACCAUAAAUGCACCAAACAGAAUAAACACAACAAUAAUUAAGCUUACUCUCAAUUCAAAGCCUCAAUCUUUAUCUAAGCUAAGCAACAACAAAAAAAGGCAUUGUAAAAAGCAACAGAAAAAUUACUGAGAGUAACGUAAUUUAUACCAAUAAAUUACCAUUCAAAUUCAAUUUUGAAGUAACCCACCCCAGUUACCCCACCACAUUUCCGAAAGACUAAACAAAAACACAACAAACUCACCCCAAAUUUUCCAUUUUAUUCGCUAUCUUUCAAUCAAUCAAACGUACCCUUUAAACUUUUUCAUCAAACAUUAUAUAAACAAAUUAAAAUCCUAAUUCCAAAACAAACCCCUGUUUUAAAAAUUUCUUAUCUGUCUUCAUAAAGCAAUCAGAAAAUGCAAGCGCACAAACAAAUUACGGAACCUUGGGGAAGAGAUUGAUGGUACAGAAGACGGAUAACCUGAGGUGGGAGCUUCGUGCACCAUCCUUGGCUGUUUCGUGUUGUACGAUUAAAAAGGAGAGCAAAACGGAAAACAAAAACCGAAGAUCACUUCGCAUCAGCUCUCGAUUUCCCCAUAUUCAGCUAAACCGCAAUAACCUAUGAGAAUCGUUCAAAAACGAAAAAACCCCGAUAUAUAUAAAAGAAAAAGUCGGAUUUGAGGAAAAUAGAGAUGAAAAAAAUACCCAGAAGAAGGAGAGGAUGAGACGCUGUAUAAUGCAGAAUGAGAAAGGAGGGAGGCACUCGAGAACAACGUUUUAGUUUUCUGAGAAAGAAAACUCCAGAAGCAGAGGAAGAGCGCUCACCGGUCCACUUCCCUUCUACGAUGGCUGACACCCAGACCGAAGAGGCAAAUCAGUAAAUGGCUCAUUUUACUAUUCCAUCGAUUAAAACUUUAUUUCUUUUUAAUUUUUUUAUCAAGAUUUUUGGAUUAUUUUUUAUUUUUAAAUAUAUUUCUUUAAUGUUAAAAAUGUUACUAUUAAUAUAUUUAUAUUUAUGAUUAAAAAUUUUAUCAUAUAUUUUGUUUUUUAGUUUGUAUCCACUUUUAAUUUGCAACCUUUAUUUUAAAUUUGUAGUAUUUUCUUUUUAGUUUUAAUUUGUACCAUGUAAUUUUUUUUCGCGCCCAUAUUUUUAAAAUUUUCAUUUGUACUCAUAAUUUUUUAAUCUUUUUGUUAUAUGUGUGUUUGGGCCCAAAAUAAUAGUUUGGACCGAGGGUAGGAUCAUACUCGGCCCGGGAGGCCGUGCGGCAAAAGGACCAUGGAUCGUUCAGCUCGUGGGCUUCCAAGCCUAGGUUAGUUAGAUCAGAACGCAAGUCGAGUCCUAGUACAAUAGGGAGUCUCGACGAGAUCAAUAAUCCAGAAAGCGAAUCCGGCUCAGUUAAGGACUAGAUUCAUAGUCCUAGUGAAGAUAGGACUGGUCGAGGUGUUGUUGACCCGGAAAGGGAGACCUAAUCCGAGUAGGAGUUUAACUCGGAUUCAAGGUCCAGUGCUAUAAAUAGGGGAGGCUAUGCGUCAGUGAAGGGCUCCAACUCAACACACAAAACUGCCCUGCGCAAACUCUCUCAACAACUUGAGAUUUUUAUUUUCUCUUUUCGCUGACACAUCUUCCGUUGGCAUCAACAGCACUGUGAAAGCAACUGGUGACAUCUUAAGUCGGCAUAGAUAGCUCUGUCAUCGUAGAAUCAGUCGGUCUCGCAGUAUCUUCCGUUGGCAUCAACAGCACUGCGGCGAGGACGGUUGGUUAUCUAUCCAAGUCUCGGUCGAGAAGGAUUUCUGAAUCCUUAUUGAUUGAGGUCGUCUUAUUAGCUUUCUCGGCGAAGUAAGGCGUUACAUUAGGCUCGGCACAUUGCACGCCGAGGUUGUUCAUGAUUGGAUACUCACAGGUGGGAUUUAGAGUUCGGCAUUCCAACGGCCGAACCACGUUCAUUAUCAAGACUUACGUCCGUUUUGAGUAUCUGUGCCCCUACACCUUGGUGUUUAUUCGGCGUGAGUUUACUCUGACGAAUACUAUCACUGUGACCGAAUCUGACGACGACGACUCGUGAACUUCGUAAAAAUAGUAGCCUUGUCUUCAGGCUUGAGAACCCAAGAGGCCGAGGUGUGUUCCUUUCUCGGCCGCAGUCGCAAGACACAGAAGUUAGCCGCGCACCCAACGCAACAUCAACAAAUUUACUCCUCGGCCGAGCUCGGCCGACGAGUUGGCACGCCCCGCAUUCACCGAAGGACGUAGUUAGCUUAUAGAUUACUCGGCCUGCGCGCCACGUAGGCUUUGUAGUUUUUAGGGUCAACAAUGUGAAAUGUACCAAUUUUUUUUAACACUAUACAUUCUUUUGCCAUUUAUUAUUUCUAAUUGUUACAUAGUUUUUAUCCAUUUAUUCAAUCAAAAUGUUUGAAUUUUUUUAAUGUAACCUUCUAUGACACACCCCGUCCUAAGGAGGGCGUGACAGAUUGCUAGUGAUUCAGUUUUUAUUUAUGCGUAUUUCUAUUUAUCUUCUCAGCUUCCGCACUGUGCAUAUGGUUACGUCACGCUCACGUGACGCCUAGCACGCCCUCUUAGGACGGGGUGUGUCAUUUUAUAAUAGUAUUAUAAAGAGGGAUUUUAAAUUUAUUGGAUUAUAAUUCUCAUAAAAUAUCAAACAAUUAAUGUCAAAACUAUAAAAAAAAUAUAAAUAUUAAUAGUAAUAUAAUGAGGUGUACAAAGUCAAUGGACUUUGAUCAAACUCUGAAUAUCAUUAGGGUGCGUUUGUUGCACCGGACUGUCUCGGACUGGACUAGCUGCAGGGACUAAGCUGGACUGGCUUAGACUAGCUUAGUGAAGCGUUUGGUGCAGUGUCGAACUAAAAAACAGAAUAAUAAAAAUUAAUUCACUUUUUAUUUGUUAUUUUUUUGGUUUUCUAGAAUCCCCUAUUUUGGUCAAACUAUUUCCUUCUUUUUCUCCCAUGUCUCUUCCCUUUUCCUUAUCCUGUUCGACUCUCUCUCCCUCCCUCCCUCCCUCUUCACUUCCUCUCACAACUUCAUAAUCUACUGCAAACCUUCAAAAUCAAACCACAUAGCAAAAAAUAAAGUGAAAAUUUAGGAGUUGGGGUUGGGGUGCAUGUGUGAUUGCCUCGAAGGUGGGAGAUGGAUAAGGUUUGCAAUCAGGGAGUUUCAUGUUUUCUGGGUUUGGUUUUCCUUCAGUCAAUCCCAUCGUUGAUUUGAGCUUAUACCCACUGCAGAUUUUGUGUGUGUGUGUGUGUUUUAUAGGUUUCUGGGUUCGGUUUUCUGGGUUCUAUUUUGCAGGUUGGAUCUGGAUUUGAAAAAUGGAAUGACUGCAUAUUUUUUUUGUUUUGAAUUUUGCGGGAUAUGGGUUUGAAAAUGGUUGUGGAAGCGAGGAAGAAGCAGAUGGGAGGGGCGAAGUGAGGAAAGGCGAAGCGGACAGAUGUGGUCUUAGCAGUCCGCCCAAUUUUGGGGGGCCUUGCGAAGCCCCUCUAGCAAAUCGUUUAGUCAGGGUUAGUGUAGGCGAGUCUCAUUAACGCUAGUCCGUGUGUGAAACAAACACAGGAUUACAGUGACAGUUAGUCCAGUCCAAGCUAGCGAAAGCUAGCGAGCUCAAACAAACACACCCUUAAGGUUUUAAUCAAAGAAUGUUAGGGACUAGGGACCGCAUCCAAAGUAUCUAUUAGUAAAUUUACUAUGCCGUGUAGGGAAAAAGGCUGAAAACAGGUAACGAUUGAAGGGGAAAUCCGUCCACACACUAUAGAUUAAUAGUGCCAACCCAAAACUAGGUUUUAGUAUAUAUAUAUAUAUAUUUUUAUAUUUGGAUCUUAAAAAGUGAUGUAUUUGGAUCUUAAAAACUCAAAUUCUAGAACUCGUUUUGAGUUUUAAAAUUUGAGUCCUUGCACUGGAGGAGAAGAAAUUGGACUCAAAAUUCAUAUUUGAAUUUUAACAAGUUGGUUGUGUAUUGGAGAUUAUUGGACUCAAAUCUCAUUAUUCUUGGUUGAGUAACAAUUUUCUUAGUUGGCAUGGGCUCCACUUUCAACUCAAAUCUCAUAUUGAAACUCAAAUUGGGUCUCCAUUCCCCCAGAGACAUAAAUAUGAGUUUUAAGCGAAGUGUAGUCAAUUUGGAUUUCAUAGGAUUUUAAUAGAUUUUGUUAAGGGACAUAUUUUAAAAGAUUUUAAUAGAUUUUACAAUUCUAUAUGGAUUUUGAAAGAUUUAUAUGAAUUUCCAUUAUAAUUUUCUAUGGAUUGUAUGAACUUUUUUCAUGGAUUUCUUAGGAUUUAUGUGGACAUUUUCACGGAUUUAUAUCAAAGUUACAAGUGGCUAAUAUAUUUCUUCCCAAAUUUUUAUCGAAUCACAUCUCAUAACACAUCAACCCAAAAUCUUAGUAGCAUCAAAUUCAUGUCAAAAAUUGCCACAACAUUACACACAUUAUACGAAAAGCAAUUAAAACCAACAGAAACUUCAUUAGACGAAAGGCGGAGGAAAAAAACUCAACCGAUUCGUCAGAUACUUCUUGAGGCAUUUAAACAAACAACUUGUAGGCCAAAAUUGCAUAACCCUAGUUCACCAAACCAGUACAGGGAAUUCCCGAAAAACAAUUUCUUUCCACUUUCUGAUUAAAAAAAAAAAACCCAAUUGCCAUUUUCACGUAUUGACACCAGAUCAAAACGAAAAACCCAAAAUUUUUCAAUUGCAUUCAUCUAACCUACCAAAAAAUUGUUACAGUUACGAUAAUUUAAAUUCUUUUCGAUACUUCAAAAAAAAUUGCAAAUAAGAAGUGGAUUAAGAAGAACACGAAUUAUAAAGCAAAACAACAUAAAGAUAAAAAUAUAAAGAUACAAUUGUUACUCAUCUUCCCAGAGGAACAAACCAAAUGCAGAAAAAAAUACAGCAAAAAUGCGAAAUGCAAGUUUAUAGGGAGGAAUGCUCGGAACUCAGGCUAGGACUAUUCAUCUUCUAUGGUUUGGAAUGAAAAAAAAAAUCAGACGGGGAGGGUUGGAUUGUUGAUGGCAUUUGGUAUUUAUACCACCCACUCUCAAAUCCAUCAAAAUCAUUCAUCCACCAAAAUUCUAGUAAAUCUUUGGCAUUCCCACUACACUUAGAUUUGUAUGGACAUUUUAAAAUUUUAAUUGACUACCCAUAGAUUUGGAUGUAUUAUUUAAAUCCUCUCAAAUCCUGAUUUGACUAAACUCUGAUUUUAAAAUCUUUUAAAAUCCACCUUCAAACUCCUAAUGGACUACACUCUAAUUUUAAAAUUUAUUAAAAUACCAUCAAAUCCAAAUUUGACUACACCCUUAAGUCUCUGGUGCAUUGGAGAACCUUUAGACUCCUAUGUAGAUCAAAUAUAAGAUUUGAGUCCAAAUUUUUUGGUGCAUCAGAGAUGCUUAGUGUGCUCGAAAUAUAAGGCGGUCAAGAUUGAAUUAAACGAUCAAGAUUGAAUUGAGAAAUGACGAUCAAGAUUGAACUAAGAAAAUGGAUUACCCAGUAAUUCAAAUUAUUGAAGACUGACCUAUAUUGGACUACCCAGUAAUUCAAACUAAUGAAGAUUUACCCAUAAAAUGAGACAUUAAUCUUGUCGUCCUUGGAGUACACGUACAAAUUUCUAGGGUAGUGCUAUCACACACCUAUUUUUACUUUUCAUACACCCCUCUCAAUUUUCGGACGUCGGAUAGAAUGAGUUGAAGAAGAACAAUGGCAAAAAAUUAAUAAGGAUGUGUAAGAAGUAAAAAUGGGUGUGUGAAGAACAUUUUUCCAAUUUCUAAUGAUUUAGCUCUUUGAUUUGAACCAUGAGAUAAGCAUGUGGUCUUCAUCAAGGUAAUGGAGUGGCGCGUGAGGAUCGUGUAAAAGAUUGAAAACCAAGAAACGAGAGGGUAUCAAAUGAUUGAGAGAAGUGUGUCUGGUUAGGACAACGAACUUUUAUAUUGACAGAUCUUUCCCAGCGACCGCCCAUAACUUUGAGCGGAAGUGACUAUAAAUUCUUGACCAUAUCACCAAGCAAUCGAAAUUCGUUAUUUUAAAUGGAAUUGCACAGAUAAUUCAUGUGAUUGUAGAGAGAUGUCUCAAAAUAAUCUGAAAGAUUUAAGAAUACUCAUGUGGUGGAAUUAAUUUUCUCAGUUCAAAUUGAGACAAUUGUGAUGUUGAAGGUUGGUAACGUACAAAAGGGAAAAGAAGGAGAGGCCGAAGGGCACGUCAACGACUCAAUGCACAAUAAAGAGAAAGAUCGGUUGUGUUUAAUUCCAAUCAAUUUUUGUCACAAUAAAGAGAAAGAUCGGUUGUGUUUAAUUCCAAUCAAUUUUUGUCAAAUGUGUGGUUUGUGUUCCUGGGUUUAUGCUUAGUGUGUAACUUUUUGACAGAACUUGAGCGAAGAUUGUUAUCGAAACAAAUUUCCGCCGUCUCUUCAUUUGACGAAAAUGCACCUACAAAAUAAUAACGCCUAAGAUUUGUUGGAAAUUAAAUAUUAUAAUUUAAAGGGUGCCGCAAGGGGCGCCAUCCCCUUUAGUGAUGUGUCUGUUAAAGGGUAUUACUUAAACUACCUAAACCCUAAAUGAUACAUCUCUUCGGCAAACAAUAUAUUUGAGUUCUAUAAAAACUCAAAAACUAUUGUCUUUUAAGAUAUAGAAUUAAGAAAAGAGUUUCCUCCAAUGUCUUAGUAAAAAUCCGAGUCGUGUCUUGAGAGUACGGUAUAUAUGAAGUUCGCCAGAGUCUGAAGAUUGAAGUGCUUUGACUUUGGAUUAUAGAUUGUUGAAUCCUAGGUGACGGACACCUACCGAACUACAAGCACAAGGGUAGGGGCGAAAUUCUGUCUUUAGAACAUUGCAUUUAUGCAAGCCUCAAUUUCUAAGUUUGUCAGUUUUUCUAACUAUAUCUUUAGUUGUUUAUAUGAAUUUUGUAUACUAUUGAUGUUGUGAAUUUCUUUAUGAUUAUUAUUAUUGAAAUUUUUGUGUUAUUUCCAUAUUUUCUAUUAUUGCUUGUAUAUAUAGUGUACAAAACAACACAAGAAUUUUGGGAUUUAUUGAUGAUGAUGAUGAAGAUAGAAGGUUAUUUGUCUUAUAUAUAUUUAUUAGAAAUUAUAAUCUAACUGCUUUUAAAUUAAUCUUAGUUUGAAUUUGAUUUCUCUUGGCAUUCUAGGCAUGUCACGAUCAGGCAAUGUUUUAAAGUUUGAGGCCUGGUAAAAUUAUGCAUGUUGCCACUGUUGUUGAUGUUGUUGUUAAUUAUAUAAAUUGUAUGAUAUAUAGAAAUCUCAUACUUGGCUACUACUCUAUGUACAUGUCUUUUUUAACUGCUUUACAUAGAAAUUAAAAGAUGGAGAUUCUAGUUUCCAGAAAGAUACAGUGAUAACAAUUUUUAUUAUAUGGGUACUGGAAUUAUUAUAAGAUCUGUUUAAAAUCCAUGUUUAGUGUUUGUCUCCUUUUUAUGAAGAAAGGUGUCGAUUAAGGCCAAGUGAAAUGGUAUGAUUGUGAGGAUGUGAAGACAAAAGGGGUUCCACAUCGGUGAAAAGAGAAACAUAACAAGACCUUAUAAGGAAUUGGGUUGUUCUCCAUAUUGUCAAUUGGUUAUGUGUUGGAAUCCCAACUUUCUUCAAUAGUCAUACAAAAUUGGCAUUAUUUGCAAAUCUAAAAGGGUCAUAAUGUACCAGUUCGUGGACUGAUGCAAUAUUUCUUUCGUGGGACAAAGGAGAUCAAUAUUUGAUCGGGCACGAGGAUGAUUAAUAGGUUUUUGUUGAGAAAACCCUUAUAUUCAUCAAGAUGUCAGCGAAAGCUCUUGAUGAAGAGUGAAUACCCAAAUAAAAUGGGGUUGUUUUAAAUUUGUAUUGAAAUAGUUGGAAAACGCCAGUACAAGAUAUGAACCCAACUUCCAUGGUAUCAUGGAAUAUAAGAUGAGUGCAGACUACUCAUAUAUAAGUGUCCAUUCAUGGAAAGAAUGGAAUACGUACGAAGAAAAUUGAACAAUUACUCAGGCAUAUAUGUGCAUAUGCAAAAUUGGGUCUAGCCUUCAUUAAUGAUAAGAACCCAGAAAGUGGAUGAAUUUGGCUUUGAGAAGCAACAAAAAUAAACUGAUAAACUGAACUCAUUUUAGAUGAGUUAUCUAUCAACGUCGAAAGAUGCUUAUUUAAUUAUGGGGUCAAGGUCCAAGACUUAUAUUGAACCAUGUGGCGGUUAAGUUGCAAAAAGAUGCAACUAUUUAACAAAUGGAUGGUUUUGUAAUGUGGUGGAAUUGGAAAUUGAAAUCUACCAUGUGAGAUUCAAAGAAAAAGCAUGUCAUUUGAAGUGCUGUUUUUGACAGUGAAAGGGUAUGCCACUGCCUCCAAAAUGAUAGAUUUUGCUCCUUUUCUGUCCCCAUAUGCGCAUUGCCAUGCACUUGGACAAUUUUUCCACGUCUAGUGCAUACAAUCGAUGCUUCCUAUCAUCCCAGGAAAACCUCGCAUCUCGCCCUUCUUCAGAAGCCUUUGCAAGUCCAUAUGAGUAGGUCUUCGGAGGUACUCUGCGGUGUACAAAGAUUUGACUGCUCCGCAAAACCUCAUCAGGGCCUCAAGAAUGGUUGAUUUCCCCAUCCUCGUUAUCUCAUCCACUUGGUCUGCAUAUCCUUCAUACGCAAGCAUCCGCAAUGCAUCAGUGAUUUUUUGCUGAGGCAGGAGACCCAUAACACCACAAGCAUCCUUCUUUUGCACAAAGUAAGAAUCAUGGUUGCAAACAUCAGUCAUGAUUCUGUUGAACAAAUGUCGUUCCAUUCUAAAACGGCGUCUGAAGCACGUAUCAGGAAAUGCACUGUUAUGGACAAAAUAAUCAUCCAACAGCUCUUCACCCUGUCGUUGCCUGCUUCUAUCAAGGUUUCUUGAACGGUUGGGCCUGCAUAUCUGAGCAACAGUCUGGAUGACUCGACGGGAAUGUGAGGUUCUGGCCAUUCUUGUUUCGUCAUCUCUCCUUCUACGCUCCUCAUCCUCUUCCAUCUCAUUUUCGGCUAUCUGAAGGUUGAACAUUCCUUCAGAUUGGUUAAACAAUUUUUCCUCUUGCUGAUCGAUUUCCCACAUCAUCCUUGAUGAAGAAAAAGACAUUGUAAGGAUGGAUGGUGAAGAAGAAGCAUAAACUAUGAAUAAUUAGAUUGAGAUGUUGAGAAAAUUGGUGUGAGAUUUGUGAGGAUGGAUGGUGGAUUAUAUGGACGAUUCAAAAAGGAUUGGAUUGUAGAUAAGGCCACGUGGCAUGCCAUUAUUCGUUAAAAAUAUGAUCGAAAUCUAUCCUCAAAGAUUCUGAAAAGAUGAUGACACGUGGCACGAUCGUAUUGGAUAAAAAUCUUAUCGAUAUCAAUCUCCAAUAAUUAUCUUUUCGGAUAAUGACACGUGGCGCAAUUUUGAACGAGUUAAAAUUUGAUCGAAAUCUAUCGUCAAAGAUUCUCAAAAGAUAACGACACGUGGCACGAUGACAUUGGAUAAAAAUCUUAUCGAAAUCCAUCGCUAAAUAAUUGUUUUUUUUAUAAAAUGACACGUGGCGCAACGAGAACGAUUUAAAAAAUCUUAUCCGAAAUUACAAAUAAUUUUAUUUUGUAUUAUUUAAACAAACAAAAAAAACUAAUAUUUUAUUGCCUAUUGCCAGGGGGAAGGCUCCAAUGGUGGAGAUGCAAAUGGCAAUUACUGUUCAUUAAUGACAGUUACUAUUCAUUAAAGGCAGUUACUGUUCAAUAUGGUGGAUUCAAUAGUGGAUUGCCAGGAGGGAGGGUUCCAUGAGUGGAGUUGCUCUUAAUGCUGGAAAUGUUUUUCUCCUUAAUUGUAUUGGGAACGGUUUGGACUAGAGGUUUUUUUUUGAGUUAAGUGUCGGAUUGUCCCCGUGAAUAGUCAUUCCUAAACCAUUUGUGUGGGCUUAAAUUCUUUGUAAUUAGUUUAAAGCAACGUCGCUUGUAAUAAAAAAACAUUAUAUAAAGCAACGUCGCUUGUUCAUUUUUUGAACUGUUGCAAAGUUUGCAACUACUUAUUAAUCUUUGAAACUAUAAGAGCUGUCUUAUUAUACUUUUUAUAUGCUACUUUCCUCCAUCGUCAUUUCUCUCCUUGCAUUUUAUGACUAACUAGCUAGCCAAAAUGUAAAUGCCAAAAGAUUGUUGGAGCCAAAUAAUAAAGUUCAACUCUAAUUGAAUUACUUAGUUAUAAUUGAUUUGAAUUAGGGUCAGAGUUUUAAUUAGUUAGCUAUUCCUUGUGCCAAAAAGAAAAGUGAAAUCCGUAUAUUCCUUCCUGUUGGUUAUAUGGGGUUCUUAUGUGGAAUACAUUUUCAUGGGCUUUAUAAGUACGGUUUAUAGCAGCCGCCAGUGAGUAUAAUUCUAGGAACUUGAAACUUAUAUAAAAUUGAGGCCCUAUGCACACUGCUAACACCACAAUAGCAAGAACUCCCCAUCAGUUUAUUGUAUAAGGAGCAACAGUGCAUAGAAGUGCUUCAAUCUAUUCCGUCCUGAAGUUUGAUCAUCCAUAAAUUCAUCAUGUUGUCUUCUCAGGUAUGCAAGGUUUACGUGUUUUGAUUUGAUGAACUGAUAAAGUUUACAAAGAUUUGGAGUUAAGUUGGUUAUUAAGAGUGUUUGACAAAUAAAUUACACAUGAGUCUUGCGUAGUCAAGGAACUUAUAUGAACAUGAAUUUGAAAAUUGUGAGUGUGCCACUACUUGUUCCCGCUAAUAGACUAUAUGAUGAAAAAUUGUACUAUUUAACUUCUAACUAAAAUGAAGAGGCUCAACUUAAAUUCUUUCUUUGUCUUACUUAUUUAAGAACUCCUCUUACAUAGAUAUAGAACAAGGUGAAAAUUAUUGGAAUAUGAAUUGAUAUGAAUUUGGUUAUAUAUAUAUAUAUUCAAUGAUAUUCAAUUGCAAUAGAAAAGAGCUGCAUUUAAAUUGAUUAAAUAAGGGAUUUGAUAUAAUGCGGCCACCGCCUAAAACAUCUUCUCCCCAUCGACCAACGCCCAAACAAAAGGAAGACUAUUCCUUUAUUGCCAAAGCAAGUCUAAGAAUUUCUCUUUUUCAAUAUUUGUUGUAUCAAACGAAAUAGUUUAUCAUCCAAAUCAUGCUUUACAAAUCAAACCUCCCUUUCCAAGCAUACAAUUCAAAAACAAAAAAUUUAGAAAAAAAAAAGGUUUGAUCUUAAGAAUGAUCGCAAACAAGCGAGCCAAGAACAGACAGGCUUUGGGCUUUUUAUUUUUUAUUAAUUCAACGUAUUACAAAAAAAAUAUUUUGGAGCUGCUUUGUCAGUAUAUAUUUGAAAACAAAGGGAAAGGGACACAGAUGUAGUUGGUUAAGAUGCUUCUCGAUUAGCUAUGAAAUCUUUAUACGUGCAUGGGUGUUGGCUGGUCAAUUUCUCACCUGCUCAAGCAUGCAUAAGCUCAGGUUCUAAAGUAUAAUUUAUACCCUGGAACUAGCAAAUUAAACUGUUUUUUAUGCUUUGACUAUAUACUAUAGUCUGUUUGUCCGUCCUAAAUAAAUAUUUUGUUAUAAAUAUGAUAUAUAUUUUUUCUCUCAAAACUGUUACGUAUGUGAUCAAUUCAAAAAGCACUACAAUUUAGCUUGUCAAAUGAAAAGUUUGAAGCGGUAGGUGUUAAGUUCGAGUUAUCUAAAUUAUGAGUUUGAUAUCUAAUUAUUAUAGCUGAUUUAUUAUGUGACUUAACUGAAUCCGUUAACCAUUAGGGUUUAUUGUUUAUACAGAAAAAAAAAGUUUGUUGUUGGGCUACUUAGUGAUCAACUUGCUAUAUCAUCAUGUUCAUGUGCCAUAUUUUGUUAUUGCCUAAUCACCUGUUCUUGUAACAGUCGUCUUGUUUAUCCAGAGACGGACCUUGGAUUUCAAAGUUGUCUGAGCUAAAUUUACCUCACAUACAAUACAAGAGAUAAAGGAGAGGAAAUUACUUUGUCACAGCUACACGAAACUAAUGUAUUUGGGAUAGGAUCUUCAGCCAUUACUGCUAGAAAUGCUCUUCUCGUCGGUUGUAUUUGGAACAAUUGAACUGGAGGUUUCUCUAUUUAGUUAAGUUACUUUCCAACCAUUUGCGUUUCAAAUCCUCUUCCUCCUCUUAGUCUAGUUUAAAGCAAUGUCACUUGUAAUAAAGAACAAUAUAAAACCCAAUUAGUCAAUAUUUAUGACAUGUUUACUUCAAGUAAAGAUACAUAAACCGUUGGAGCAAGGGAAUAAGCAAAAUAAAUCUGUUUAACUAGCCACCUAGUUUAUAUAAUUCUUAAUUUUCAGAUAUUAACUUAUAAGCUUUCAGGCGGGAGUUGUCCACACCUAGACGGAUUUCAUUUGUAUUAAAACAACAAAAUUUAAAAAAUCAGAAUGAUUUGAAUUCUCAUAUACAUGUCAUUAACAUUAAAAUUUGAAACAUAAACCCAAUAUGACGCAUUUUAUGGUCUAAUUGUAAUAAACUUACGAUGUAGUUCACCACAUGAUGUGCAUAAUUAAAAUAAGGCCCAAUGUUAGCGUACUUCUUACUCGCCCAAGCCCAAAACUAGAGUUGAGUUCGGUUUCAAUCUGUUCAGUUUUUUGUCAAAACCAUAACUAAACCAAAAUUUCGAUUCGGUUUAAUACUUUUAGGUUUUUGUUCGAUUCAGUUUAAUUUUAGUUUGGUUUGUUAAUGUUAGCGUACUUCCCAAUGCUCCCUCUUUUGUCUUCUUCCUUACUUGGCUUCGCGCUGAUUCGUUUGAACCUGCAAACGACCACGGACGGCUUUUCCGAAACCUUAGUUACGUCUCGUAUGAGCCCGAAACAAAAAGCCGAACAUUCUUCUCGCAACCAAAAUAUCAUCCGACCGGAGAAAAGUUAAGCACAGCAGAAAUGGAUCUGAGAGAAAGCGUCAUCAACCAAAACGACUUCGCUCUGGGGCUGACGAAGCAGCUGCUUCAGACCGAAGGCAAGCAAUCGAACCUCGUGUACUCGCCGGUGUCCAUCCACGUGCUGUUGAGCCUGAUCGCGGCCGGCUCAAAGGGUCCGACUCAGGACCAGCUGCUGUCUUUUCUCAAAUCAAAGUCCACCGACCACCUCAACUCCUUCGCCGCCGAGCUCGUGUCCAUGAUCUUCUCCGAUGGGUCCCCUAGCGGCGGCCCCCAGCUGUCGUUUGCUAAUGGGGUUUGGGUGGACGGGUGUCUCCCUCUGAAGCCUUCUUUUAAGCAGGUGGUGGACACCUCUUACAUGGCUGCUCUUGCCCAAGUCGAUUUUCAGACCAAUGUAAGCUCUCAAACCCACUGUCCUGUCGUUUCGAUUGUCUUUUUUUCCGAGGAUGCUCUUGAUCAAAGUCUUCAAUUUUUUCGAUGUGAUUAGAGAUGCUUGUUCCUUUGUUGAACCUAAAUUGUAGGCCUGCUGAAUCUCUUUUACUUGUAGCAUUUCAACUAAAAAUUUCCUUUCUCUAAUCAUUAAUGUUUGUGCUUGUUAGCUAUUACAGAAUCAUAUCGUAAUUCGUAGAUUUUUGUUAUAGUACGAUCAUCACUAGGUUAAUAGUAUUGAAGUAACAUGCAGGCUGAUAUAUCAUUGUUUUCUAACUUGUCGUAACUGUUGCUGGUGCUCGAGGCUGCUCAAGUGGCCUCGGGAGUGAAUUCAUGGGCUGAAAAGGAGACGAGAGGCCUUAUCAAGGAGGUACUUCCUCCCGGGUCAGUUGACAGCUCAACCAGGCUCAUCUUUGCAAAUGCGUUAUACUUCAAAGGAGCUUGGACUGAAAAGUUUGAUGCAUCACAAACGAAAGAGCAUGAUUUCUACCUUCUCGAUGGGAGCACAGUUAAGGUGGCCUUCAUGACCAGCAGGAAGAAGCAGUAUGUAAGAUCCUUCAAUGGUUUCUCAGUCUUAGGGCUUCAUUACAAGCAAGGUGAAGACAAGCGAUGUUUCUCCAUGCACAUGUUUCUCCCAGAGGCGAAAGAUGGGCUGCCAGCUUUGGUUGAGAAACUUGGUUCUGAGUCCGGGUUUUUGGAUCGCCAUCUUCCUAACCAAAAAUUUGCAGUGGGUGAUUUCAGGAUUCCAAAGUUUAAGAUUUCAUUUGGGUUUGAAGCUUCCAAUGUCCUUAAAGGUCUUGGCUUGGUGCUGCCAUUCGGUGGCGGAGGAGGUUUGACAGAGAUGGUGGACUCGCCUGUGGGUAAGAACUUGUACGUUUCCGGCAUAUUCCAUAAGUCGUUCAUCGAAGUGAACGAAGAAGGCACAGAAGCUGCAGCUGUGUCUGCCGGGCGUGUUAGGCGUUUGCGUCUGGUAGUGCCAAGGACGGUUGACUUUGUGGCCGAUCGUCCAUUUCUCUUCUUGAUCAAGGAAGAAUUGACCGGAACUGUGCUUUUCAUCGGGCACGUACUCAAUCCUCUUGCAGACUGAGCGUUGUUAUUCCCUGUAAAAGGCAAAUGUAUACGUAGAACUACACGAGAUUAUAUAUAAAAUGUAUGAUCAUCUCUAUUAAAAUAAAUGUAUGAUCAUCAUGUUCACGUCGUCUUGUUUAUAUAUAUAAAUGUAUGAUCAUCUGUGUUAAAAUAAAUGUAUGAUCUUCAUGUUCAUGUCGUCUUGUUUCUCUCAUAUGGCUUUUGUUGUUCGUUCUGCCAUGGCUAUACCUACCCGAAACUGUUGGAAAUGCUUUGGGGAUAGGCUUUUACCCAUUAAUGCUGGAAAUGUUUUUCUCCUUAAUUGUAUUGGGAACGGUUUGGACUAGAGGUUUUUCUUUUUAGUUAAGUGUCGGAUUGUCCCGGUGAAUAGUCAUUCCUUAACCAUUUGCAUGGGCUUAAAUUCUUUGUAAUUAGUUUAAAGCAACGUUGCUCUUGUAAUAAAAAAACAUUAUAAACCAAGUGCUCGGUAAUUAUUGCACGUUCAGUUAACAUGAAUCGGGACAAGUAAAGAAUCAUAGAACUUACGAGCAGGGAAUGUACAGAGGGAAAAUUUAUCUUAUCAACUGGCCAUGUAAUUUACAUAAUUCUUGAAUUUUAGGUUAAGUUAUAUUUUGUAGAUCAGGCGUAAGUUGAUUUUUUUUUUAAAUUAUUAAAGAAAUCAAUCAUCAAUUAUCACAUAAUGUGAUUUGUAAAAUAUUGUUCGAGUAGAUAGUCUCUCGAGAAUGACUCAAACUUUAUAAUGAUUUUGAUUUUUAUUACAUAGUAAUCAUGUCAUUAAGGUCAAACUUUGAACAAACAUCCAUUUACAUAGCAAGCAUGUUAUUAUGGUGUAUGCUCAUCGUCGCUUUCAAACCUUGACAUGUGUCUUCUAACAUAACCAUAAUGAAAAUUAUACUUUCAAAUUUAUUUUUUUUAUUUUGAAAGGAUGUCAACUAGUGCCAAGCUAGGACUAGAAACACAAUUUGGCAACAACAUUCCAUAUUUACCCCUGCUUUUGCUGGCUGUAUCUCAAAAAUAUAUGGGCAGUCCUCCUAAUUUUCAUCUUCUUACCGGAAUCUCACCCCACAAAUCAAAUUACAGCCCACAACUGCCUAAUUUUUGUUAGUACCAAAAUCAAGAACCAAUAACAAUAUCUUAUUAUUCGUUGCAGUUUAAAUGACACUUGUUGAUGAGUUUUGUUGCAGUUAAAUUUCAGGAUAAUAUUAGAGAGACUAAAUUUGAAGAUGAAAUUUACAAAUUAAAUGUUAUGUCACCAAUAAAAAUGAGCAUGUUUAUUAACGUUUAAAUGAUAAACCAAUUAUCAACUUCUAUAUAUGUUUGAACCCGAUGUUACACCAUCGGUUCGAGUAAUCGAGGCUAUUGAAUAAGCAGAAUUUUAGAUCGUUGAAAUUAUUAGAAAAUCUGAGCAUGCACGAUAGUUAUAACGGUGAGAAAAGUUACGGUAAUAUUAGCGUACUUCUUACGUGGCCACGCCCAAAACGAAGUCGUGGCAACUCGCGCGAAUGCCACUGCUCCCUCUAUCGUCUUCUUUCCCGCUUGGCUUCGCAUUGAUCGUUUGAACCUGUAACCGAUCACCGAUCACCGACGACCGACACCGACUUUCCUAUUUUCUCGAUGGUGAGAAAGCAUACGGCCCAAUAUUAGCGUACUUCUUACGUGGCCACGCUCAAAACGAAGCGUGGCGACUCCCACGAAUGCCACUUCUCCCUCUAUUGUCUUCUUCCCCACUUGGCCUCGCAUUGAUCGUUUGAACCUGCAACCGAUGACCGACGACCGACACCGAGAUUUUCCCAAACCUUGGUCCUUACUCUCGUAUAAAUUAGAAACGAACAGCGGAACAAUUUUCUCGCAACCGGAAGCACAGCAAACAUGGAUCUGAGAGAAAGCAUCAUCAACCAAAACGACGUCGCAAGGAGGCUGACGAAGCAGCUGGUUCAGACCGAAGGCAAGCAGUCGAACCUCGUGUACUCGCCGCUGUCCAUCCACGUUGUGCUGAGCCUGAUCGCGGCCGGGUCAAAGGGUCCCACCCAGGAGCAGCUGCUGUCGUUCCUCAAGUCAAAGUCCACCGACCACCUCAACUCCUUCGCCUCCCAGCUCGUGUCCGUGAUCUUCUCCGACGGGUCCCCCGUGGGCGGCCCCAAGCUGGCGUUUGCGAAUGGGGUUUGGGUGCACAAGCCUCUCCCGCUGAAGCCUUCCUUCGAGCAGGUGGUGGACGCUUCUUACAAGGCCGCUCUUGCCCCAGUCGAUUUUCAGACCAAUGUAAGCUCCCAAACCCUCUGUCAUGUCGUAUCGAUAGUGUUUUUUUUCAAUGCUGCUCAUGAUCAAAGUCUUCAAUUUUUUUCGAUUUGAUUGGAGAUGUUUGUUCCUUUGUUGAACCUAAAUUGCAGGCCUGCUGAUGCUCUUUUAUUAUUGUAGCAUUUCAAAUAAAUAUUUCCUCUCUAAUCAUUACUGUUCGUGCUUGUUCUUCUGAAUAGCUUAGCUGUUACGAAAUCGUAUCGUAGAUUUUUUGUUCGUUACUGUUUGUGGUUGUAAUUGAUCGAGAUAUGCAGGCUGAUAUCAUUGUUUUCUAACUUGUCGUAACUGUUGUUGGUGCUCAAGGCUGCUCAAGUGGCGUCGGGAGUGAAUUCAUGGGCUGAAAAGGAGACGAGCGGCCUUAUCAAGGAUCUACUUCCUCCCGGGUCACUUGACAGCUCAACCAGGCUCAUCUUUACGAAUGCAUUGUACUUCAAGGGAGCUUGGAAUGAGAAAUUUGAUGCAUCAGCUACAAAAGAGCAUGACUUCCACCUUCUCGACGGGAGCACAGUUAAGGCGCCCUUCAUGACCAGCAAGAACAAGCAGUAUGUAAGUGCCUUUGACGGUUUCUCAGUCUUAGGGCUUCCUUACAGACAAGGUGAAGACAAGCGGCGCUUCUCCAUGCACAUCUUUCUUCCACAGGCGAAAGAUGGGCUGCCAGCUUUGGUUGAGAAACUUGGCUCUGAGUCCGGGUUUUUAGAUCGCUAUCUUCCCAAACAACCAGUUGCAGUGGGCGACUUCAGAAUCCCAAAGUUUAAGAUCUCAUUUGGGUUUGAAGCUUCCAAUGUCCUAAAGAGUCUGGGACUGGUGCUGCCUUUCGAGGGUGAAGGAGGUCUGACAGAGAUGGUGGACUCGCCCGAGGGUAAGAAGCUAUAUGUUUCUAGCAUAUUCCACAAGUCGUUCAUCGAAGUGAAUGAAGAAGGCACAGAAGCUGCAGCUGCUUCUGCCGGCGUUAUAAGUGAGAGGAGGAUGCCCAUGACAUUUGUGGCUGAUCGUCCAUUCCUCUUCACGAUCAGGGAAGAAACGACCGGAACAGUUCUGUUCAUCGGUAACCUGCUCAACCCUCUUGCCGGCUGAGUGUUACAACCCCCUGGGAAAGGGCAUCAGAUGUACGUAGAAUAAUACGCGCGAGACUGUAGUAAAUAAAAUGUAUGAUCCUUGUAUACAUGUACUAUGUUUGGUUAUUACCUAAUCACCCUGUACUUGCAGCAGUUGGUCUUGUUUCUCCCAUGUGGCGAUUUUUGUUUGUUCUCCCAUGGCGUUUAUCCAUGUGUAGAAUCUUGAUUCUGAAUACUUAUUUUAUGAUGUACUCUGUUUGAACAAUAAAAGUUUUAGCCGACUGCAAACGUCGGUUAGUGUUAAAGUAUUUAAUAUAUAGAAUGGACGAGUGCUAGUGUUGUACCAUACACAUGGUUGGUGAUGAAAAAGAUUAAACUUUGAAUAUUCUAUAAAAUAUUAUUUAACUUGGGACGAGGAUCUUCUUUGUGAGGAUCUUAUGAAUUAAUUUAUCUUAACGGUUCAUUGUACAUCGUGUGACCAUCUUUCAUUAGAUACUUUUUGUGUUAAAUUUUAAAUAAAUUCAAAAUAAUUUUUGGCUGCAGGAUGAUUGAUAAACAGAUAUGAUGCAUUGAUUCCUAAAGUCCUCACAAAGAGAAUCCGGAUGUUUAUAGUCCUCCAUGACUGGAGAUGGCCUAAGAUGCUAAACACUUAACACUACCCAAUUUUUCCAGUUAGUUAAAUUUUCACAAUUAGUGUAUUAAAUUGCUUAAGAAAUGUUAUCAGCACUCUAAAAUAAUUGACCAUAUUUUCUUGACUCUUUUGUUAAAUUGCAUGAAGAUUUUUUUGGAUAGUCAAUAAUAUCUCCCAAUUGCUUAACAUAGAAUUAAAUAGAGUAUCGCUAACUAGAGCAUGAUAUGUUUCUGUGUCUUUGAUGCCCUUUGCUCGAGAAAAUUUAGUAUAGGGUUUUCAUCACAAAUGGUCCCUGACAUUGAUCAAACACAUCAUUUUGGUCCCUGACAUUGAAAAUCAAUAGAAAUGGUCCCUGACAUUGAUCAAACACAUCAUUUUGGUCCCUGACAUUGAAAAUCAAUAGAAAUGGUCCCUGACAUUGAUCAAACACAUCACAAAUAGUCCUUCCGUUAAAAACGUUUUGGGCAAUUUUCAAAGCUUUGUAACUCAAUCGUUUCUUAACCAAAUUCGACCCAUAAUAUAUCAAAAUGAAGAUAGGAAAGUGUAGAACAAGAUUAUACCUAUUUGGAAACCCAAUGGUUGCCGGAGAUGGCCGGAAAACAGCCUCAAAUGUGACUGGUCCGCGAAAAAACUGGAAAACUCGCCUGAAAUGGGGUAAACUUUAAACAUUCAUAACUUCUUCAAUAAUCAACGAAAUCGAGUGAUUCAAAAAUGAAAAUCAUACUUCUCGACGAGACUAAGAGAAUGGUAGCUUUCUUGAUGGCUAACUCAUUGUAGUUUGGCCGGAAAAUGACUCGAAAUUGGCUAACUCGAAAAUGGUUAUCCAAGUUCGAGCCAUUUUCCGGUCAAACCACGGUAAAUUAGUAGUCAAUAAAGAUACCAUUAUCUUUCUCUCAUUGAGAAGUAUGAUUUUCAUUUUUGAAUCACUCAAUUUCAUUGAGUAUUGAAGAAGUUAUGAAUGUUUAAAGUUUACCCCAUUUCAGGCGAGUUUUUCAGUUUUUUCGCGGACCAGUCACAUUUGAGGCUGUUUUCCGGCCAUCUCCGGCAACCAUUGGGUUUCUAAAUAGGUAUAAUCUUGUUCUACACUUUCCUAUCUUCAUUUUGAUAUAUCAUGGGUCGAAUUUGGUUAAGAAACGAUUGAGUUACGAAGCUUUGAAAAUUGCCCAAAACGUUUUUAACGGAAGGACCAUUUGUGAUGUGUUUGAUCAAUGUCAGGGACCAUUUCUAUUGAUUUUCAAUGUCAGGGACCAAAAUGAUGUGUUUGAUCAAUGUCAGGGAUCAUUUGUGAUGAAAACCCUUUAGUAUAUGAACGACAAACUACGUGUUAUUACGGCCACAGACGAUAAUCCAGACUAUUUGUUUAAUACUUAAGCUUACUUGUGGUCCCAUUAUGUAAAAAAAUUUUGCAUUAGUCUGCACACAAGAAAUUUUUUAUUGGUUUCAGUUGAGCUCAAAUAAUAAUAAUCUGUUCGUGUAAAAGUUAAAAUUUAUCUUAUUAUGUAAUUGAUUUAAAAUACCGUAAAUACUGAUUUAAAAUUAUCUCAUUGUCAGCUUGUGUGUCAUUCUCGUAGAAUUUGGAAUUAUUCACAUUGUUUAGUAACGUAGGAUAUUUCAAGAAGCAUUUUUGCUCACUAUCAUUUAGUGUAAUGUAUAUUCAUCAUUCUAUUUAUCAUCGUUAGAUGAGUUUGAAUUUUAAGAUCCGUGUAGUGGAUAGACACAAAUUUCAAAAUUCAAUCUCAUCUAACGAUAAUAAAUAUGAUGAUGAACAUAAAUCAAAUAAAUGAUGAUGAAAAAAAAUACAUAGAUAUUUCAGUACAUGAAAACGUCACGUUAAUGAAAGGAGCUGGAGCGCCUGCUGCUGACCUCGGUCAAACAGACGGUGUGGGUUUCACGUGGCUGGCGCGAAAUCUAAACCGUUAAUUUAAUGUUAGUUAUCUCUCCCCUUGUCACGACUCCCAUGUAAUGCUGUAAAGUCACAAGCACCCAUCGUUUGGUUCUAAUAUUACAACAGUACCGCCCAUGGAAACACAAUCUUAAGCAAUCUCUAAUACUCAUAAUGUUGUUGAAGUUUUGCACUAAUAAUAGUUGCUAAACAGUGAUUAGACAGUCAGAUAAGAGACAGGGUUUAUGAUGUGAUUUGGACGUCCCAUCCUUUGCCACUUAAAAUGUCUUACCUACCAAACAUAUCUUGAAAAAUAAUUUAGCUUGGUACGAAGAAUCACAAUUUUUGUUUAUAAUUGACGAAAUCAAUCAAUGCAUGUUUUUUAUCAAAUCAAUAUUUAUUGGGAUAUUCAUCCUUAAAAUCUUCAUUUUGUUAUAAAACAACAAUAUAUUUAUUAUUUUUAAAAUUUUGUAAUACGUUUAUUUAAGUAGUGACUUUGAACGUUUUAAAAUUGAAAAAUCAAUAUUUAAAUGCAAAGUUGUCCGUUUUGAAUAAUCUCUAACAAUAUUUUCCUUCUCGUAAAUGAGUAAGAUUGGUUUAUUUUGUACACAAUUAGAUAUUGAGAGUUGAAAUUCUAAAUACUAAGUUCUUCUUAACAUAUUUUCGUAACCAUUUAAGAUGUUUGUAUAUUCGAAGAAUAUGGAAAAAUUGAAUCAACCCAGAUUAUUAUUAUGGCUGUCGACAUCUUUUAUCAGAGGAUAGCCAUCAAGUCACACCGCAUAUCCAGAAAGAGAAAUCCAUCCAAAAAAUAGGAAAACGAAAUGACAUUCCUUAUUUUCCUCCAUGGACGUCCCUUCUCUCCCCACCACGAAGGUCCCAGCUGAAAAGAAACGGAUGGCACAAUCGUGAUUAUCACAAACAGGAAUGUCAAAUUGUAGCAAGAGCAUGGUCAGCGCCGUUACAAAUAAGUGGAAGUUCCUCGGAAGAGUAAGAGAACGCGACAAUCAUAACGUAAUCUAUCUCUUCACUUUCUCAAUCCUUUUCUAUCUUUUUUUUCUUUCUGGGUUCCUUGUACUUCUCAUAAAUAUUAAGAGUUUAAUUCAAAAGAAAGGAACUUUCUCUUUCAUUGCUUACAUUUUUUUUUUCAGAUUAUUUACUUUCCCUUCCUUGCAGUUGCUUGGAAGAAACCAAGCUCAGAAGACCUUUGUUUUUUGAGAAUUCAGUUCAAUCCGUUUAUAUAUAUAUAUAUAUAUGGUGUUGAUGAUUUACCAGAAGUGAUAGUGCUUCAACCGAGAAGAAGAAGCUUUUAGUCUUCAGAAAUUCAGAGAAAAGAUAAGGAAGUGGAAGAGUGAAGGAAAAGCAAAUCAAAAGAUGGGAGAAACUGCUCCUCAUCCUCCACCACAGGUGGUUGCUCGGCCGUCUCAGAUGCCUCUUGGGGCAGCGAAGGGUCCCCAUUUGGACUCCAACUGAGCAGCUCCACAACCUUCAGUAUUGCAUCCACUCCAACCCCUCUUAGCGUUAGUCUCUCUCUGUUUCUGUUAAUUUCUUCGUUCUGGGUUUUAUAUUUUUUGAGUAAAAAGCUGAUUAAAGUUGUGCUAUUUUAAUGGGUUGGUUUAAAAGUUGAAGCUUUUGGCACUACUUCUUAUUUAGUUUACUAGUUUGCUUUUUAUUCCUAAUUUUGCAAAUUACUUUUACUAUUUUUGUUUCGGAUUCUCUAAUUUAUUGUGUUCGAAUCUUUUUAAGUACUGUAAUUAGUUCUAAUAAAAUAAUAAGCAUAUGUUCCAUUACCAGUUUCAACUUAUCCUGCUUACAAGACAUCGAUAUCACUCGAAAAUGUUUAGGAAGUGUAAACGUAAAUUUCCCAUGUUUAUCAAAUGCAACAAACUGCUUCUAAUGGAUCGAAUUUUACAGCGGAAACAUUCGUACUCGCUUUUCAGCACUAUAUUGUGAUGCUCGGAUCCAUAGUUAUAAUUGCCACUAGUUUCGUGCCUCGGAUGGGUGGGGAUCAUGUAAGUUAUGUCCUCUAUACAGUAAAGUUUAUAAUAUGCCGGUUAAGAUUAGCGAUCACACACGUAGCUUUGAAUCCGUGAUGUUAAUGUUUGGGUUUUGUUCUCCCUUUGUGAUCAGGGUGACAAGGCACGCGUGAUUCAGACGAUGCUGUUUAUGGCAGCAAUAAACACUUUGAUCCAAACAUUCACGGGACAAGGCUUCCAACAGUGAUGACUUCGUCAUUCGCUUUUACCCUUCCGGUGAUGUCAAUCAUCAAUGAUUAUUCUGAUCGGAAUUUUAGAAGUGAACAUGAGGUAUGUAAAGUUUGAAACAUGUUAUUCAUAGAGGAUUUAACAUCACAUUAAUUUACUUCUUAAAUUGCUUUAAGAAAUUUCAGUUAUAGACUUUGAGAUGAAAAAUACGUGGUGCAAAAAACGUGUAAACCUUACAUACCUGUAGAAGACGUCAUGAUGAAUUUCUGGUUUUGAGGACGGAAUAGAUUGAAGCACGUCCAUGCACUGUUGCGUCAUAUGCAACAAACUGAUGGGGAGUUCUAGGGUUGUGGCAUUAGCAAUGUGACAGGGACCUCAAACUUACAUAGGCCUCACGUCCCUAGAACCCUACCCACUAAUGGAGACUAGAAACUCUUAUGAUCCUCUAACGAGAAUAAUAAAGCCAAUGGAAAUGUUAGCACACAAUUGUUGUACAUAUAACAGACUUCGAGCAAUUUUUGGAACACGUAAAACAUUGUUAAGAAUAAGAUCAUGAGUAUUGGUUUUAAUGGUUGUUGCAUCAAUAUUCUUAAUGGAUAAACCUGUUCCAUUUCCAACUGUGAUUUUAUCAAAACCUUGGAAUGGUGUAACUUGAUUCAAUGUGGUGGCAUCAGCAGUGAUAUGAUGAGAUGCACCAGUAUCAACAAUCCAUGCAUCAUGAGGAAUAUAUUGUUCUAUCUGCUGUGUUGCCAUAGCUGUUAAGUUUGCAGGUGGUUGUUGGCCUUGAAAAACAUAAUUCCCUUUGUGAUAACAUUCAAGAGCUGAGUGACCUUUUUUUCCCACAAAUCUGACACUCCAUUUGAAAUCUAGUAUUUGGUGUAGUAGCAUUUCUGUGAAAACAAUUGACUGCAGUAUGCCCUUUCUUGUUGCAGAUUUGGCACUCAAUCACUGUUGUUGACCUGCUCUCUGUGUUUCCAUUCCACACAUUUGAACCAUUUGACCUUGAAUUGCCAUACGAAAAAUCAGAAGAGUUUCCUAUGUUGUAACCCUUGCUUUUGAAUCCACCAUUUGUCUUGUAAUUAUUGUUACCCUUGUAGUUUGAACCACCAAAAGGUUUCUGCAUGAAAUGAGGUAUUGGACCAGAAUUUGAUGCAUUAGCCAUAAACCCAAAACCAUAGGGAACUUGAGGAUAAACUGGACCAGGAAAUUGCGGAGACAUAGGAGGUUGAGGCAUAUGAGGUUGCUGUGGAUAUUGUUGUGGCAAGACAAAUGGCUGUGGUUAUUGUGGCUGUGGAUAUUGUUGUGGAUAUUGCUGUGGUAAAACAAAUGGCUCAGCAGAAUAUGGAUAUGGAUUAGGAGUUAUAACACCACCAGUGGUUGCAGGUAAAUGACUAUGCCCUGCAGGAUUAGACCCUGAAGCAAAUGAAUUUCCCUGAGUUGACUAAGAACCCUAAACAUAUAAGGCAGAUAGACUUUGAGACCCAACACUUGUGUCUCAUUCAAUCUCUUUUUCAGCUCUAAAUUUUUUCAAGGAAAUGGAUGAUUCUUUGCCAUAUAUCACAGUUCGAAUAGUUGCAUACUCCUUCGGCAAACCAGCUAAACCAGCAAUUAUAACAUCAUUAUCAGAAAUGAACUCUCCAGUAGCAGUUAAUUGUUCUCUUAUACUCUUCAAUCUUAACAGAUAUUUAUCCAUCAAAUCUCCUCAUUUUUGAAUGGUGUACAACUCAAUUUUUAAAUGAUUUACCCUAGUUUUAGACACUGAAGCAAAUCUAUCCACAAGAUUCGACCAAGCCUCACAAGCAGUUAAACAUCCAAGAACAUAUUUAAUAGCCUCAUCAAACAAAGUAGCUAGUAAAAGACUUAGUAAUGGAUAUGUGGAUUCCCAUUCAACAUAUUCAGCAAGUUCAGAAGUAACUCCUCUCUUAGUAUCUAUUACAAAUUUUUGUGGACAACCAAUAGUGCCAUCAAAAUGCCCAAACAAUUUAUGACCUUUCAACACAUAUUUGAACUGAAAAGCCCAUUUCACAAAAUUAUCAUCCUUCAACUUUAUUGUGAUCAUUCCCAGUUUCAACUUUAACACUUGAAGUAGUCAUGAUUUCUUGAUCGAACACAUAGAAUUUGCAAAUAACAAACAAACACCCAAAAAUUUCUGAUAUACGUAUUGAAAGGAAAGACUGAAACUUUCUCACAACCCAAGCAAGACUGAAACUCGCUUAAUACUCAGGAAAAACUGAAACUUUCUUGAUGAAUCUUGCACACAAAUACAACACACAAUUCCAAUUCGGAAAAGAAAACACAAAAUCUUCUAAUCAGGACUGAAACCCAAUUACUCAACAGAAAUUCACACUAUCACUUGAAUUGCAGCUGUGAUUGCAGCCACAAAUAGCCAGAAUACCAACCGCCAGAAAGAACAACAAGGAUCUGCAAUCGCCAGAACUUUUGAACAAACCCGUUGAAAAGACCUUUCAGAAUCCUUGAACUGGAUAGCAGCGAAAGAACUAGGAUCGAAAACGGUAGUGAACCAUGGUCAGCGAUGAUACCAUAUUAACAGUGUUGAAUUGUGGCCAAGUGGCCAUCACCUUUCGGCUAAUAAACAAACAAAGAAAAGAAAAAGAAAGACAAAAUGAUGAGGAAACAUCAUGAUGAGGAGGCAUCAUGAUUAUGCUUUCUUGUAGUUUUUUAAUAACCAUAAUUAUUGUUUUUGUUUCGGGUAGAAGAGAAGAAAGGGAGAGCUCAUUUUUUAGAAGAAAGCAUAUUAAAGAGAGAAGAGGAGAGAGAGAAGGUAGAGCCUUUUGGUUAUAAAAGGCAUUCGAUUAUGCCUUUGGAUGUGGGAGGGGGGGGAGCGGCAGAUGAGAGAGCACAGGGAGAGCAUUCGGCUCUCCCAUUUGAAUAUGAGCUGCUCCUUCCCACCAUUUGUAAUAAUCCCAUUUUGUUAGUAAUCACUCAAUCAAAGAUGUUGGUGCUACUUGUGUAGCUUUUGGGAGAGAAGGAUUUUGAUAUGUGUUUCUUCUUCUCCAUUUGUUUCUUAGUUUGAGUGAGAGCUAUUGGGUGUAUGUGGGAUUUGGGUUUGAGUGUUGAACUCUAUUUGUAAUCUCCUUUUGAUAUUAAUGGAAUUUCCUCGCCGUCUCGGAACUGGAUGUAGGCUUACGCCAAACCAGUAUAAAAAUCCUUGUGUCUUUUGGAUUAUUUGUCUUGUCAUAUUUUGCCGUUAUUAGCUUUGAUUUCAUAUUUGAAGCUUCCGCACAACAAGUGGUAUCAAAGCUCCGGGUUUCGACUUGGAGGCUUUGUACUAGUAUGUCUAUGAAAUCUUCAAAUGACGGUGAAAUAUGUUUUUUGGAAAAAUUCGACUGGAGGAAUGACUUUGGCAUUUGGUCAAUUGGAGAUGCAGAGUUUGGCUGCAAAAUGCGUGGCGUUGAAGAAGGAUAGUAAGGGACUAUGCUGCAGUCAUUGAGCUUGCAGAUUGGAGAAUGGUUUCGGAAACAGCGUGUCUGCUGCAAUGUUGCCGUCGAUGUUGUUGAAGUGUUGGUGUUCGACAGCUGCAGAUGUAGUGUACUGCUUUUGGUGGGUUCUCUGUUGGUCAUCGCUGCACCGGAGGUGUUUGUGGGCUGUUGUCGACGAGUUGAGUGGGAAGGAGAAAAGGUAGAAGCAGUUGAAAAUUGAAAAGAAAAUGUUGGUUCUUUUUCUUUCGGCAUUUGUUUUGGCAGAAGGACAUCAUGAUGACAAAUGAUGUUGUUGGCUGGAAGAAAAGGGAAAAAGGCUAAGGCUAAGUUUUCUUUUCUUUGGCAUUUUUUCAACGGCAGAAAAUUUUUGGUUCUUUUUUCACUCCCAUUAGUUGCCUUUGGAGCAAGUUGAUGGAAACAUUGGAGGAGUUUGUGAGGGCCAAUUUGUUGAGUUCUGCAAGUUUGGAUAGUGAGGCACCACACUAUUUUGGAUACACCACAUGCACUGCAGAACAUUUGUGUGGAACCCUCUUGUAGAAGGCAAGUUAUAUGCUUUCUAACUUUGUUUGGUCUAUGGACAUUUAGUUGGAUUUGUUUGCCACUGCUAUUUGGUUUGUUGGUCUCCAUCAUCUGCAAUUAGUUUUCUUGAAGACUCCAGUUGAGGUAUGGUUUUGGAUCUCCUGCUGAUUAUUUGAAUUUGAAAUUUUUGGUUGUCCUGUUGGUGCUCAUGUGAUGAUGGUAAACUUGAGUGGAGGGCAUAGUUUUUUUGUAUGUGGUAUGUUAGACCUUGUUGCCAAAUUUGUAAUCAGUUUUGACUUGGAGAAUAUGCCGUGCUAUUUGAAUGAGUCUAUUGAUGCAGUUUAAGACCAUGGUGUUUGUAAGCAGGUGGAGUUCGUUCUGUGUCCAACUUUGGUAUGGUGUGCUUGAUCUUUUGUUAGUGAUAUUGAAGAAUUUCAGUUCUUCGUUUGAAUCACUUUUGUUUUGAUCAAGGCACUUAUGGUUUGCAAAUUUGGAGAAUACGGUAGAGAAAUGGUCUACUUUUGUUGGCUUUGGUAUAAUUUGAGUCGAGGUGGAGAUCAUUAUGAGUACCGGAAAGUUUGGGGAAUUUGAUUUAGUUCCCGUUGUCUUUAGUUUGUACUUUGGGUGAUUAUGGUGAUUGUUGAUUCGAUUCUCUGUGAUGGUUUCGGAACUUGGCCAAGGUGGAGAUUGUUGAAUUGUGGCCAAGUGGCCAUCAUCGGCUAAUAAACAAACAAAAGAAAAGAAAAAGAAAGACAAAAUGAUGAGGAAACAUCAUGAUGAGGAGGCAUCAUGAUUAUGCUUUCUUCUUUUGUGGUUUUUUAAUAACCAUAAUUAUUGUUUGUUUAUUAGCCGAAAGGUGAUGGCCACUUGGCCACAAUUCAACAAUCUCCACCUUGGCCAAGUUCCGAAACCAUCACAGAGAAUCGAAUCAACAAUCACCAUAAUCACCCAAAGUACAAACUAAAGACAACGGGAACUAAAUCAAAUUCCCCAAACUUUCCGAUACUCAUAAUGAUCUCCACCUUGACUCAAAUUGUACCAAAGCCAACAAAAGUAGACCACUUCUCUACCGUCUUCUCCAAAUUUAAAUCCUAUGAAGAAAGGGAGAGCUCAUUUUUUAGAAGAAAGCAGAUUGAAGAGAGAAGAGGAGAGAGAAGGUAGAACCUUUUGGUUAUAAAAGGCAUUCGAUUAUGCCUUUGGAUGUGGGGAGAGCGGCAGAUGAGAGAGCACAGGGAGAGCAUUCGGCUCUCCCAUUUGAAUAUGAGUUGCUCCUUCCCACCAUUUGUAAUAAUCCAAUUUUGUUAGUAAUCACUCAAUCAAAGAUGUUGGUGCUACUUGUGUAGCUUUUGGGAGAGAAGGAUUUUGAUAUGUGUUUCUUCUUCUCCAUUUGUUUCUUAGUUUGAGUGAGAGCUAUUGGGUGUAUGUGGGAUUUGGGUUUGAGUGUUGAACUCUAUUUGUAAUCUUCUUUUGAUAUUAGUGGAAUUUCCUCGCCGUCUCGGAACUGGAUGUAGGCUUAUGCCGAACCAGUAUAAAAAUCCUUGUGUCUUUUGGAUUAUUUGUCUUGUCAUAUUUUGCCAUUAUUAGCUUUGGUUUCAUAUUUGAAGCUUCAGCAAUACAAACAGUACAAGAUCAAUGAAUUCCUAUGAAUGAAUAAACUAAAGAAAUCGAAGAAAGAGAAUAACGAGAGAGAAAAGCUUUUCAUUUAUAUUGCUCUAACAGAAAAUGAUUACAUGAUAAAAAUCUAAGUCUCCAAAACAAUAAUUAUAUAGAGACUAGAAUGAGCAGAAUCACAAUAUUGCCUUUCUAACUAAUUCUUAUCUUCUAACAACCUCAACACUCACAAGCUUGACACUUGUCAUUUCUUACAACCACUCCUAACAAAUCCUAACUGUUUAUCUGGUUAAUAUAACGGAUGGCCGACGACCGAC
This 78951-nucleotide long non-coding RNA is filed under the name Malus domestica (apple). RNAcentral's name for it is "long non-coding RNA (MDOM_LNC007255)". Lineage: Eukaryota; Viridiplantae; Streptophyta; Magnoliopsida; Rosales; Rosaceae. The record is from RNAcentral.